UAUCCUGAUCUCUCACUAAGACAAAAGGUAGCCCUUUGAACUUUUGCAGUUAAAUUUUGUUGUUCUUUCUCCCUCCCUCCCUUAAGACAAGCUUCCUCCCUCCCUCCCUUAAGACAUGCUUCCUCAGUGAAGAAGGCUUUACUACUUGUCUGAGCAAGAUUUAGAAUAUCUGCCACGUUAUGCAAAACAUACUAAAAAUUAGUAAUCCGAUAAACUACUUCUAUGACCUGUUCUGACUGAGACUAACAUACUUGCACUUUACUACUCCCAAAAUGCUGAUCCAGGGUAUAAUGUACUCCAGGAAAUGUAGGAUCUUACAGUUAUUACUUAAUAGAUACUGCUCCCAUGGAGUUGUCCUAGGAAACUCAUGUUAUUCCAUUACCCAUUCAAGUCAUAGUGCCUUUGUCUACAUUUUCUUUUGGCCUCAUUAAGACACAAUUGAUACCCAGGCUUCACGAUCGACUUGCUUCUUCACUGAUGAAUUCACAUUUACUUUAUUAACAUGCAUUAUUCUAUUCAGCUCCUCAGUGCUCGGAAUAUGGCCGAAAGAACUAUCAUAGGGCAGGACAAAAUUGUUUAUAGCUCUGGCAAGGAUUUGGUUGAGCAAGAGUUUGGUGGGGGGUUUCAGCAUAUAGAUAAGUCAGAUAAAAGAAAGUCUACUAUUACUUGGUAAGAUCUCAGUUCUCUUGUCUAAUGCACUGUGUUUUCAUUCUAAAAUUGUCUAAAGCAAAUGCUUACUUGGUUCAGGAUUUAAGAGCUUACGGAUUUAUGACUCAAGGAUCAAAUUAUUUGUAGUUUUUUUUUUUUUUUUUUUNNNNNNNNNNNNNNNNNNNNNNNNNNNNNNNNNNNNNNNNNNNNNNNNNNNNNNNNNNNNNNNNNNNNNNNNNNNNNNNNNNNNNNNNNNNNNNNNNNNNNNNNNNNNNNNNNNNNNNNNNNNNNNNNNNNNNNNNNNNNNNNNNNNNNNNNNNNNNNNNNNNNNNNNNNNNNNNNNNNNNNNNNNNNNNNNNNNNNNNNNNNNNNNNNNNNNNNNNNNNNNNNNNNNNNNNNNNNNNUGGUGGGGUUUCGAGCAUAUAGAUAAGUCAGAUAAAGAAAGUCUACUAUUACUUGGUAAGAUCUCAGUUCUCUUGUCUAAUGCACUGUGUUUUCAUUCUAAAAAUUGUCUAAAGCAAAUGCUUACUUGGUUCAGGAUUUAAGAGCUUACGGUAUUUAUGACUCAAGGAUACAAAUUAUUUGUUUUUUUUUUUUUUUUCGACUUACUGAUAGUGGACUAUUUCACUUGUUUUUGUUUCAGUGACUGAAGCUGUUAAACACUAAAUGUUAAACACGUUAGUGUUUAACGAUCUGGCUGCGAAACCUUUACACUGGAAGUCUUCUUUUGCAAGCCGUUGAUGCACCCUUGGUGGUUGGUACCUGCUUUUGUUCAUAAGCGUACUUCUUUUCUGGGGUUAAUUGUAUCUGGGAAAUGAUACCUUGUAAUAGAUUUUAGGUAGACAAGUUAUCUAUUUACAAAGACUUAAAAAAUUUUAAGCAUCGCAGCUUGCUCAUGUCUAUGUUUUGUGGUGCUGCACUGCCAAAUCAGUCCAGGUAACAAUUGACCCAAAUGUCUCAACUUCUUCAAGUCCAGACACGUUUUGCUCGACUAAAACACACACUCCCUACAGUUAAAGGGCCAAACUGGAACUUUUGGGACCUCAAAGACCAAUACUACUGCAACACAUACCCACCUUGCUUGAGCUACAAGGGUGAAGAAACUUAUCACCUACAGUGAUUUGUUGUUCAUAUCGGAAUAUCGGAACAAAGUAGGUGAUUGAAAUGAAUCUAACUAUAGUGUUCUUGAUGAAAUUUUUCUACCAUAUGGCUGUGAUCGGUGUUAUAGAUCCAUAAAUCUUCACCUAGGUUGGCAUGGAUUAUAUAUCUAAAGGAGGUUCCUAGCCAGCUGUUCAGGUUUUCAUCUCCAGCCUUUGGAAAAUGGAAAGCACCUUGUGACUGUCUGGAAAGUUGGCAGUGCAUCUCCAUAACCAACUGUGGAGCUUCUUCCCAGAACCGUUCGAGUCGCAAGAUGAGAGAGUAUGAAGGUGAAAGGGUUUGAAAUACAAACCGACUGAAAGGGUGUCAAUGGUCAAAGUUUUUUCUCUUUGAUUUGGUCAAUAUUCAAAGCUUGAAGAUCUGAUUCCUGAAUCAAAGAUAUAGGGGCUUCAGAAGUUCAGAGCAUUCUGUGAUUUCCGUCUGGCAAUGAUGUGAAGCCGUGGCCGGAGAACAUAUUCUCCGGCGAUGGCAGAGAGAUAAGUGAGGUUUUCUGACCCCAACUUCGAAUUUAUACUUAAAAGCAUGAACUGUCAGUUUUGCCCCUUAUAUAUUCCGAAGAUAAAAGCCCACACCAGAGGCCCACAUUGUAGGUCCAGCUGUCUAUAUAUAUAUGCCUUGGUUUUCAAGGAGACGAUGACCUAGCUUCCUUAAAACUUUCUGCUUGUAUAUGCAAAACCCUAACCUUUCUUCCCCCAAAAUAUAUGUCAGAAAAAAUAUUGAUCGUGCUCCAUCUUCUGGUAUCUUAUAUAGUUGAAUGCUUUUCUCAUCUUAGUCGAUACCUCAGAUCCAAGAAACCCACUAAUUAUCAGAAGAAGAAGAAGAAGAUGGAUCAGUCGGACAAAUUAAGCAACUUACCAACCGGUGUUACACAGAAAAUCUUGUCAUACUUACCUAUCGACCAGGCAGUGAGGACAAGUAUUUUAUCUAGUGAGUGGAGGUCGACAUGGUCUCGGCUUCCAUAUCUGGUGUUUGAUGAUCAAAGUGGAUAUGAUAUCAAAAAAGUUGUUAAUCAUGUGCUGUUACUUCAUCGUGGCGGCAUAGAGACUUUUAAGCUUUCUAAUCUUGAUGGUUCCGCUGAUAGUGAAAAUAUUGAUAAAUGGAUUGCUUAUCUAUCAAGAGAAAGGAUCAAAGAGUUCGUACUGGAACAUACCAAAUGGGAUCCCUAUAAUGUCUUUUCCUGCAUCUUUUUAUAUAAAGGUUUGACUCGUUUAGAGUUGCACAAUUGUUUGUUGAAUCCUCCGGCGACGUUCAAAGGCUUCCGGAUGUUGAAGAGACUUCAUCUUAAGCACGUUGAUGUGUCCGGAGAUGUGUUGGGAAGACUAAUUGCUUGCUGUCCUCAGCUUGAGAGAGUUAUUCUAUGUGACUUGAAGGGUAUAGCUGAUGUUACUAUUUGUGCACCAAGCAUACAGUUCCUUAAAGUUCAAGGCAGUUUUGAGGAUGUUGUACUAGAGAAGACCUUUAAUCUUGUUGAUGUUUCAAUUGACUGGAAACAAGGUUCCACAAUCUGUUCUGGCAAAUUGCUCAGGCAUAUUUUGCAGCUGCCUCGUAUUGAAAGACUCACACUGCAGCGUAGCUUUCUAGAGGUAAUGGAUUUUCCUAUUUUUCUUUGAUGAUUGUACUUAACUAGCUCAUUAUUUAUAUGCUUGUUUUAUGAAUCAUUAUUCAUAUUCUUGUUUUAUGUAUCCUCUUUGCUGUAGUGUGCUGUUGGUUCCUUGACCAAGAAGCUACCUAAAUCAUGUCUGUCUCUGAAGUUUCUUUCGAUAAGCAUACGCUUGGAUAAUUCGGAGGAGAUUUUAACUGCCAUGCACCUUAUGAGAAGCGCACCUGCUCUAGAAGAACUAGACAUUGUGGUGAGAAUCAUGCAACUGCGCUAUGCGUACUAAUCAAAUUUCUGUACUUUUAAAGUUUGAGAUUAAUCUAAUGCCAUUGACAAACCUUUGUUACUUUGUGUAGUUUCGAAAAGGAAAGGUGACUAAUGAUGGAGAAUCAACCUAUUGUUUAAGUGAUGACAAACAGAAUUGGGAAUUCACCCAACUGCAACGAGUGAAAGUAAUCUGCUUCUCUGGUAUCAAAGCAGAAGUAGACUUCAUCAAAUUUCUGUUAUUAACCUCACCUGGUCUUCAAGAACUAGAAAUUUCGGUAAUUUUCAUUCUAGUGCCGUAUGCAGUAUCUGUUGAAGUUAAUCAAAAUAAAACAAACUCGAUCAACUGUAACGUACUGUAGUUUAUACAAAUGAACUGGUUAAUAAAUUUUAGAUUCUGAAUUUCUGAUGUUAUUGACAUUGUUUUUGUAGUUUGGCCAAGAUAUGAAAGGAGUGGACUUUUCUUGGUUAGAUGACAACCAGAAGAAUUCUGCAUUCACUCAAGUACGAGUUGUGAAAGUUACUCGCCUCUCUGGUGUCAAAGCCGAAGUAGAUUUCAUCAGAUUUCUGCUCUCAAAUACUUCACAAAGGCUUGAGAGAGUGAUUCUACAACCUUCUUCUACCGAAGUUUCUUGGGAAUUAUUUAAGUUAUUGCUGGCGUUCAAACGCGAUACAUUACAUGCAGAUUUUAAGUUCUUGGACCCAUCAAGUCCUGUCACUCCUGUGCAGGAUUCUGACGACUCGUCUUCUGACCACAACUUUGAUGCUGCCUCAUCUUCUGACUCCGACUUUGAUGAUGAUGAUGAUGAUGAAUUGUUAUGAACCAUUGGUGAUUGCUACUGAGCAUUUUUGUUUUGGUACAUAUAUGGUAGGACUUCAUAUUUUUGAGAAAUUAUGAAGACCUAAAAUGACUAAAAUAUGAAGACCUACCAUAUAUCUUUUUUUUAAUCAGUUUCAUACCUAAAACCAAUUUUGACCAUUUUUGUGCAUUAGAAAAUGGUCAAAAUUGGUGCUCCAUCAUGGCAAAUAGCUAGUAAUGUUUUAUUUCGUAGCUGAUGAUUUAGUUUGGCCGGAUACUUACGUACGUACAUAUAUUAUUGUCUGAUCAUGGCUUCAUAUUGAUUGAACCCAUGUAUUAGGACUGAAAACUUUAUGCAAGUCCUGGAUCUCGUACAGUUUAUCAAAGUGGAGCUAGCUAGCUCCGCAGCCAAUUUUUUUUCGUUCAGUGUUUCACUUUGUGUUCAGAAAUUUUGUAAUGUUUUUCUCAAACUACCGGUAGAGAACUAUUUAACAUCUAUUUUCUCAGUGACUGAAGCUGUUAAAGACACAAGUUUUUAACGACUGGCUGCGAAACCUUUACACUGGUGGUUGGUACCGGGAUUUGUUCGAAAGAUAGCAUACUUCUGUUAUGGGGGUGCAGCUGGGAAAUGAUAGUUUGUAACAUAGAUUUUAGGUAGAUAUACUUUUAAGCUUCGCAGCUGGCUCUUGUAUAUAUAUGUUUUGUGGUGCUUCAGUUCUGCUAAUAUUGAAAGCUUUUGGAAGCUCAGAGACUAACAUGCAAAUAUAUAUGACAAAGUAGAUGAACUGAAAUAAAUCUAAGAUCAGCAACAAACAAAUAACUGAAUGAGUGAAAGAACACCGAGUCCCCAAUCUUCACCAUAAUCAAGUGUGGUGUUCUUGAUGAAAAUUAUCCAUUUGGAUGUAAUGUUAUAGAUCCAUAAAUCUUCUCCUCGGGUCUUGGCAUGGGAUCGAUUAUCUGACAUGCAGUUCUUGGGUUACGACGUAGAUGGGUCACUUUCACUGAACUGGUGACAUGGUCAGUUGGUGAUGCUUCUCUCCCCAUGGCGGUGUAGCUUCUUUUGAAGAGUGCUCCUUGUGGCUCAGGCCACUGAAGCUCAGUGGUUUAACUUGAUAUCCUAGCUUAAUUAACAAGAAAAUAGUUGUGGUGCUGUAUAAAAGGGAAAGGGAAGCACAUAGUAAUGGUGGUGGAUAUAUAAGAGAUCGAGACAUAAGGGAAUUCGAAGUUUAUACAGAAGAGAAAGGGUGUGGAGUUUGAACGUAUAACAGACAGAAGGGUGGAGAUUUAUAUAGGGCAUUAUUUUCAGCAGUUUCUUCUCUUUGAUUUGUUCAACGUUCAAAGCUUGAAGAUUUGAUUACUGAAAUCAAAGAUCGAGUCUGGUCUGCAACAUGGGUUGAUCAUAUAUGGGAGGAACGGCCAAUUAAUAUAAGCCUAAACUUUGAACUUUUUUUUCACUGUGAAAUUGUCCGACCGCUUUAGUAACUUAUCGUCGUAUCGAACUCACGAUCUCUCACUUAAAGAGAGAUUUAUGUCCACCGAACCAAACGGUAAUUGACAUAUUCAGUGAGAGCUUUGCCUUUUAAGUUUUAACCUUUCAUAUAAUGUUUUAAAUUUUUAAACUAUGAUUAGAGCGAUGGACAUGCAUUGAACAAAAUCACACACGCAAGACUAUCGAAACAAGAAAAAAAAGAGUUUCUCCCGAUAAAGCCCGGUCUACAGGCCCAAGUUGUAGGCCUAGCGCGCUGUUAAUAUGCAGACGAGGACAUUCCAGGUCUAGGAACCCUAAUCAUUCCCCAAACAUCUUAGCAAGAAUAUCGAUCGUCUUCCAUCUACUUAAAUCUAGUAAGCUUUGUUUUAAUUUCUGGAGAAUUAUGUUUUUUUUUUCUUUUUUAUUAAAUGUGAAUGUGUAAACCUGCUCGUCGAAGUUCUCUCUUCCAAUUAAUUAAGUGCUUGAUUCUCUUCACAAGUUAACUAAUUUUGUUGGAUCUUGAUACUGAAGGACAAGAAGUUUCGAUCAUGCAUGUUUUAUAUAGUUGAAUGCUUUUUUCUUCUUAAUUAGUUGAUUCCUCAAAUACAAGAAAACCCCCAAUUCAAUCCCUCUUUGAUAGAGAAGAAGAAGAAGAUGGAUCAGUCGGACAGAUUAAGCAACUUACCAAGUGGUGUUGCACAGAAAAUAUUGUCAUACCUACCUAUCAAUCAGGCAGUGAGGACAAGUAUUUUAUCGAGUGACUGGAGGUACAAAUGGCGUCGGCUUCCAUGUCUUGUGUUUCAUAGUGUAAGGGGAUAUCGAAUCGACAAAGCUGUUGAUCAUGUGCUGUUACUUCAUGAUGGCAGAAUUGAGACUUUCAGUCUUUCUAAUUUUAACAAUAUAAUAGAAUGUGAUAUUGAUAAAUGGAUUGCAUAUCUAUCAAGAAAAAAUGUCAAGGAGUUCGUACUGAAAAAAUUGGAGUAUCAGUCUCCCUACAAGCUCUUUUCCUGCUUUUUUUCUUUAAAAGAUUUGACUCAUUUAGAGUUACACAAUUGUCUGUUGAAUCCGACGAUGACGUUCAAAGUCUUCCGGAUGUUGAAGAGCCUUCAUCUUCAGCAGGUUGAUGUGUCCGGAGAUGUGUUGGGAAGACUAAUUGCUUGCUGUCCUCAGCUUGAGAGAAUGAUUCUAUGUGACUUGAAGGGUAUAGCUGAUGUGUUACUAUUUGUGCACCAAGCAUUCAGUUCCUUAAAGUUCAAGGCAGUUUUGAGGAUGUUGUACUAGAGAAUACCUUUAAUCUUGUUGAUGUUUCAAUUGACUGGAAACAAGGUUCUACAAUCAGUUCUGGCAAAUUGCUCAGAUAUAUUUUGAAACUGCCUCGUAUUGAAAGACUCACACUUGAGCAUAGCUUAUUUGAGGUAAUGGAUUUCCUUGUUUUUUUCUUUUUAAUGAUUGUAUUUAAACUCAUUAUUGAUAUUCUUGUUUUAUGAAUCAUUAUUCAGUCUUGUUUAAUACAUGUAUCCUCUUUUCUCUAGUCUGCUGUUGGUUCCUUGACCAAGAAGCUGCCUAUACCAUGUCUGUGUCUGAACUUUCUUUCUAUAAGCAUACGCUUAAAUAAUUCGGAGAUUUUAGCUGCUAUGCAACUUAUGAGAAGCGCACCUGCUUUACAAGAACUAGGCAUUUUGGUGAGUUAUUUGAAUCCUGCAAGUACAUUUGGUCCUUGACCAAAUUAAAAUUUUCAACCUCCUUUCAAGAGUUUGAGAUUAAUCUGAUGCAACAGGCUACCUCUGUUACUUUGUGUAGGUUCGGAAAGGAGAACAGACUAAUGAUGGAGAAGCAACCUACUGUUUAAGGGACAAACAGAAUUGGGAAUUCACUCAACUGCGACGAGUGAAAGUAACGGGCUUCUAUGGUGUAAAAGCAGAAGUAGACUUCAUCAAGUUUCUGUUACUAACCUCACCUGCUCUUCAAGAACUAGAAAUUUCAGUAAGUUAUUGUUCUAGUGGAGUAAGCAGUAUCAGCUCUAACAUAUUGUAGUGUAAACAAGGGUUAAGAAAUUUUAAUUUCUGAUGUUACUUACUUGUAUGUGUAGUUUGGUCAAGAUGUGGAGGAAGGAAUGGACAUUUCUUGGUUAGAUGAAGACCAGAAGACUAGCGUACUCGCCAAACUGCAAGUUGUGAAAGUAGCUCUCUUCUCUGGUGCCAAAGCCGAAGUAGAUUUCAUCAGAUUUCUGCUCUCAAGUACUUCACAAAUGCUUGAGAGAGUGAUUCUCCAACCUGCUUCUGAAAAAAUUUCUUGGGAAGUAUUUAAGUUAUUCCCGGCGUUCAAACGGGAUUCAUUACAUGCAGAUUUGAAGUUCUUGGACCCAUCAAGUCCUGUUCAGUAUCAUUAUGAAUCCGACUCUUCUGAUGAUAUGGAUUUCUGAUGAAUAAUGGCUGAUUGCUACUGAAGAUUCUUGUUUUGGUACAAGUGUUCAUAUAUAUUUUUGAGAUAUUUGCUACUAAUACAGAUUAUUAAGUUACGCCUCACUCAAGUUUCUCGGAAUUCUCCAGCAGCCAUUUCGUAUUAGUACGUUGUUAAUGCGUGUCAUAUUGAAGACUCUAUUUGGCAUUUGCUUCUGGAGGGAGUAAGCCGCAAACUUGAAGUGAUCCCAGUCCGUCAUGCCUGGAAGGUGUUGUAGAGAGGCAGACCAAAAUGCAACAUUUGAGUUCAUUUUGAUGUUUUUUCUUGUUUGAGAAGAUUUUGAUGUUUCCAGGGGUGAAGUUUUCAGAAUUACGCAUGUGUUCUUAUUCAUGAAUAUGGUCAUUACUUGGACCAAAAGAACAUGAAACUUCCCUAUUCGAUCUCUUUUGAUAUGUGUUCAAAAGGACAACAGAACUUCAACAUUAACAUUUCGUAAGCAUUUUAGGAAAGUUACACAAAUCAUCAGGAACACCGAACUUAUUUGUGCAGAAAAGUAAUUGUCGACAAUAUUCGUCAACAAUCAAGUUCAUUGCAACGCUGCUCUGUUAAUGUGGUAGAAUCGCAGCACACCAUGUCACCAUAGUCUCUGAUCACUAACAAAGCAGCCAAAAAACAUAAUUAUUAUUUGACCAAGACAGACAAUUUUUUUUUGAACGCGACUUCGGUGACAAAGGCCGGUCAUCUUAAGGUGACUACAGCCAAUAAACAUGGGACACGUGUCCAUUUUAAAAGACUUGGCUGCAAUUUAAGAACAUAACAGGGGGUUUUGAGUAUUUAGAAUGUUUGUUUAUAAUUAUUGUUUAUAAUUAUUUUUUUUGAAAUAACUUGAGUUACCAACUAUGGUCACUUAUAGGUGACAAACAGAAAUGAGAGAUGAUGGACAAAUGCCAACAACAAUCAUAAAUAAACAUGUCAAAUACCAAAAACCUCCAUGUUAUGUCCUUAAAUUACAGCCAAGCCUUUUAAAAUGAACAUAUGUCCCAUGUUCAUUGGCUAUACUCACCUUAACUCUUGUUACCGAAGUCGGGUUUUUUUAUUUUUCCAUCAAAAUAUCAUUUUCUAUUUUACUCUUUAUCCAAACAAAAAUUAUCCAAUGAUCAUUUCAAUAUGGAUGAGGGGCAAGACCGUAAAAUCAGCCGCAUCAUCAAAGUCUUGGGGUGUUAACCCAAAGCUCUAAUUCUAAGCCACUCACAGAGCUCUCUGUGUUUCUCUCAUGGCCAGAAAUACUUAGAUACACAGAAACCCAAUACCCACUCCAACUUCCCAACCUCUCACUCUCCUCCUCCCAUGGCUUCCAUAGCCACCUGCUUCACUCUCCCUCCAAAACCUCACCUUCGCCUCAUUUCAAAACCCUCCCUCUUCCCCAACCGCCCCCCUCUCACUCGACGCCUCAUUCUUCCUGGAUUUCCUCCCAAGCUUCGAGAAUCUAGGGUUUCGGUGACCGUCGUUCGAGCCAGCCUCGACGCCGUUACCGGGAUUAGGCCCGGCGGAGCCGUCGAGAGCGAUAAGCUGCCGUCCGAUGUCAGGAAGCGCACCAUGGACGCCGUGGACGCGUGCGGCGGGAGAGUGACGAUUGGUGACGUGUCGAGCAGGGCUGGGCUGAAGGUCAAUGAGGCUCAGAAGGCUUUACAGGCUCUCGCUGCUGACACUGAGGGCUUCUUGGAGGUACUUGUUUUCAAAAAAUUAAUAUCUGUAGGUUAGAGCUUUUUUCAGCGAAUGUGUUAGGAAUGUGUAGGUUUGUUUAGUGAGUUGAAAUUCUAUUUUUCAAGAUGGUCUCAACAGGUCUCGGAUGAAGGCGAUGUGCUCUAUGUUUUCCCCAAGGAUUAUCGAGCCAAGCUUCUCGGCAAGUCGUUUCGGAUGAAGGUUGAGCCUAUUCUGGAGAAGGCUAAGGUAGUUUUCCUUUGUGGAAUUCGAUUAUGUUUUCGUUGCGAUGUGAUUUGUUUUUGGAAAUUGGCACUGAUAUGCUGCUUUUUGAUAGGCCGGGACCGAGUACGUAGCCAGGGUUUCGUUUGGGACUGCCUUGAUUGCCUCCAUUGUUCUUGUUUAUACUGCAAUUAUUGUUGCUAUCUCGUCUAGUAGGAGGUAAGAUUUAGGAUACGGCUGGUGUUUUUGUUGUUAAGCUCUUUUGUAGUACUGGCUGGAAGGUUGAUUGUAAUGAUUUGGUUACAGUGAGGAUGACAAUCGUGGACGACGUGGAAGAUCAUAUGACUCAGGGUUCACCUUUUACAUGAAUCCUUUUGACCUCUUUUGGUAAUACCAUCUAUGUCUGUUUCUUAAGUAAGCUUUUCGUAAUAUUUUGGUGAGGUUUCUGGUUGAGGUAUGCUAUUGCUGGAAGAGAUUUUUACUAAUACCUCAUUUAUUAUUUAUUUUGCUAAGGUUCUGGGAUCCAUAUUACUAUCGGCGUCGGAGAGUGCAAACCGAGGAUAACAAGCUGAAGUUCGUUGAAUCUGUAUGUGAUUGGCACAGUCAUAAUAUUCUUUUUGGCUCUUUCUGGAGUUUUCAUUCUCUGAAAAUAUUGACUCUGAAUACUGUUUUUCAGAUUUUCUCAUUUGUAUUUGGCGAUGGUGAUCCAAAUCAAGGAAUUGAAGAAGAGAGAUGGAAGUUGGUAAUAAUCGAGCACUGAGUUCAGUGGUUCGUUGCUUUCAACAAUUUAUUUCAAAUCAUUGGUUUUAUCUGUGCUUACUAUGCUAUUAGAUUUCUCUUUCAUUAGAGUUUGCAUUAGUUUCAGGAUCACUCACUUCCUCUUCUCAAGCUAUAUCCUAUAUUUAGAGACAACCUGACCAUCUGCAAAGACUUAUAGACGGGAAGUUGAGAUAAAAUAUAAUGUUCCAAUAUAGAUGCUUAUGUCAGUUAAUACUUCGAAGGAGUCUAUAAAAGGUGUUUGCAAAUUUAUUCUAGACUCUUGGCAUUCCUACUUAUCAUUAUUUUCCAUAUUAUAACUAGUUGGGAAAACACUUCUAGCUCCAAAUAUUUGGCACUCCCAAUCUGAAAAUUAGGGAAUUGUGCUUUGAAGCUAAUUAAUUGGAAUUAUUUAUUAUCUGAAUUGGAGAGAAAGGGGUGAAGAUAAUGCACAUGUUGAUAUUUAUGGAAGCUUUGUUUUAUCACAAUAAAAAUGGUAUCAACACUAUUCGAAUAUUUGCCGUAUUAGAACUAGUUGGAAAAACCAUCAGACGCCUGCUGACCUAAGGCACCAUAACCUUAAGUAGUUUUAUACUUCUGUUGUUUCGCUAAAACUGUAAAUGAAUCAUAUGUAUUGACUAGUUUUUUAUGUUUAACUGUGAUAAAUUUUUAUAACUUUUUAAUGGAAGAAUUCAAAAUCUUUUUCAUGCUAUUCGGAAGGAUUUAUCUUUCUUAGACCAAGAGGGUUUACUGGAACCCUAUAGCCUUUAGAAUAAUAUGAUGUGUAUCUAAAAUGAAAUGACACAAUUGUCUAUGGAACUGUAUGUGCAGAUUGGGCAAUACAUAACCUCCAAUGGUGGUGUUGUUGCAGCUGAAGAACUUGCUCCAUAUCUUGAUUUGGAAGGGGGAUCUAUGGUAAGCAUUUUUUGCCCUCUAAUUAGUACUAAAUGGGCAUUAUCUCUUUUUUUUAUCUUGUAUUUAUUUUACAUCAAACUGAGAUUGCAUAAUCUGUUUAAUUAUUAAUAGUCCGUCUCCAUUAGUAUGUUAAUUGAACACUGCUAGCUUGAAAAGCCUGGUCAACGUUUGCAUACUUGGGGAAUUCCUGCAUGCACUAUCGUUUCUUGAUGCUCUAGUUCAAUUAUUAUUAUUAUUUUUUAUGGGAAAUUGUGGUGUGGAAGUCAACUUAAAUUUGCAAAAUUUAUCAGAAAACGCUGGAAGUUUUCGUAUUUGUUACUUUAGGUAGUCAUUAUCUUUUCUUUUCUUUUCUUUUUUUCAAGGGAAAAGAGAAUAAGUAGAAAGAAACACCCUCCAAACUUAAGUUGAAGUUUGGAGAUACAUCUCUGUUGUUUGACUUCAUGUCAGCAUUUCAAUCAGUUUAAACAUUUAUGGACUUGUAUAUCUUAAGCUUGUGUUUGUUUCCCUUCUUUCACCAUAUCCGAAGUUUUCCUUUUUCUUACAUGGCAUGAUUGACAAUUGCAUUUUCUGCUGAUUUCAGGAUGAUGAAACAUACAUCUUACCUGUUCUUUUACGGUAUGAGGGCCAGCCUGUAAUAGAUGAAGAGGUAUGUUUAAAUUUUUCUAGUUUAAAGCAAUGCUUUUAUUUUCUUUAUGCAGAAAGAAAGAAAGAAACAAAUUGCCUCCUAUUAUGCAGGGAAACAUUCUCUACCAAUUUCCCUCUCUACAGCGUACGGCGUCUUCUCAAAGAAGUGGAAGGAAAGAAUAUGUAGGGAGAAGAUGGGCUGAUUUUGUUGGUGGAGUUGAUAAAUUUUUUACUGAGAAAAAAUGGGAAUUCAGGUCCUUUUUUAUUAUUAUUUAGUUUUCCAAUUGUAUCGUGAGUUUCACUUGGAUGUUGAAAUUUAAAAGAAUUAUUUUUUGCAGUAACACUAGCAUUUCUGAGAGAGCACUAGUUGCGGGACUUGGUGGACUUAAUUUAUUUGGGGUUAUCAUUCUUGGAGCCAUCUUAAAGUAUGUUGGAUUUUGAACUUUGUCACUGCUUAGUUGUUUUUGUAUAUAUAUUGUUCUGAUGGCCCCAUUUUCACUUCUCAUAUGAAGGGAUAGUGCAGUUGCACCAGUUGGUUUUAUUAAGUUCAUUAGCAGCAUAUUUCCAUUACUUCAGGUAUGAUUGGACUUCAAUUAAAACAAAUUUCAUUCUUUUGGUGCAGUAUGUAUAUUGUCUUGUUAGAUAGUUUUCGUUGAAACAAUAUUACCGCUGCGUAUUUCCCAUAAAUUUUCUAUCAUAUUCUGGUUUACUAGGGAAUUAGUAUUUUUCUCGAGGAAUAGUCAUUAUGAUCCUGGAAUCUGGAUUCUGAGAUAUUGGCAGAAGGAACUUUCCUGACUGACCACAUUCACAUAAUCUGGCUAAUUUACUUGGGUUGUGGCAUCACUCGCACAUGAGAUGUCUUCUGUUCUGCUUUUGUUGUUUUGCUUUUAUUUAUUGUUUUUCUGCACUAAAGUCUGAUUUCUAGUAUAUCCCAUUUCAUAUUAGUAAUCAACAGAAUACUGGUGACUUGUUUGGUCAGUGUUUAAUUGCCGAAUUAUAUUUGAACUCGUUAAUGUGGAUUAUCUUGUAGUAACAGAUAGGGUUCUUGGUGUGUUAGGUCAUCAAUCUCUUUUUCUGACACUGAGCAUUCUAUCAACGAUCUUUACAUUUUGCAGAUAUAUCUAUAUGUAAAAAAUUUGAUUAUAUCCGCAGCAACUAUUGGGUUUGUAUUAAUUUUUGGGCGCAAUCAAUUUGCAGGUUUAUGCUGGUUCAUUCUUUGCAAUUCCUUUGCUCCGAUGGUUCAUUGUGAGUAAGACAAAUGCUGACAUAGAGAAAAGAAAUCAAGCAAGAUUGAAAUCUGCUCGAGCCCUUGAAUCGCCAGAUAUCUCACUAAGACGAAAGGUAGUACUAGUACUUCUAUAAAGUUUUACAUUCUUUUGGAUGUUGAUUAAGGAUUGCUGUUUAAAAUUCCACAUCUUGCUUUAUAGCUAUUGACAACAUAUUGAAACCUAGUGAAUUUGUUCCUAGUGUUUUUAAACUUAUUUAAAUAGUAUGUUCUACGUAUCUAAUUUCUGUUUCAUAGACAUCCGUAGUAUAAAGUUUUCAUGACUGGCAGCUACACUAAUUUUGUGUCUUACGAAUUUAAAGCUGUAAAAAGAAAAUUAAGCUCCUCCCACUUCACCCCGUAGGAAGACAACCGUUGUAAAAUUUAACUGCCACAUUAUGCACAUACUAUCUAUGCUUAGUUUCAUUUGUUUCUACUUUCUAGCCAUCUGAUAAUGUUUUGCUUAUUAGUUAUUGGGACUGAACCCUAAUAUGAUGGUUGAGAACAGUAUAAUCUAACUGCUCAGAUGAGGUUGUCUUAGGUUAUAAGGUGCUCCUUUGCAGAUAGAGUUAUUUUGUAGCUGACUAAGGGCUAGUUUGGUAUUGCUGUGACUUUAAAAAAAAUCUGAUUCUGCUGUACUGCGAAAAUAAUCAGCUGUGAAUCAAAAUGGUUUUGUGUUUGGUAAUAUUAGUUCUAAAACUGCUGCAAUGUUAAAAAUAUAUUAAUUUCUGUGUUUUUAUGACAGCGGCUUCUAAAAGUAACCUUCAAGAAAGCUGCUGCCUGUGAGCUGUAAUUUUUUAAAAGCUGGUUUUCUUUGAUUUACCAAACACUAUAAAAUCUAAAAGUUCGGAUAGAAGUUGUAUUUUUUAAAAGCGAAGCUAUACCAAACGGGGCUUCUAAAAGUAACCUUGCCUGUGACCUGUAAUUUUUUUAAAAAGCUGGUUUUCUUUGAUUUACCAAACACUAUAAAAUCUAAAAGUUCAGAUAGAAGUUGAUUUUUUUAAAAGCGAAGCUAUACCAAACGGGGCCUAACCUAACUUGAGGUGGUAUCAUGAUUUUUAAUUUGUUAAUUGGAGGCACCCUAUACUUAUAAUUGUGUAGGACAUAUAAUAAAAACUAUUUUCAUUGGCCUGGAAACAAAAACUGGAGUAAAAGGGAACAUAAUUUGGACACUAGAUUAACCAGUUUCUUCACUGAUAAAGCAGCCGACUAAAUUCUUUACGUUGUUAUUCAGCUGCUCAGUGCCCGGGACAUGGCCCAAAGAACAGUCAUAGGACAGGAUAGAAUUGUAUAUAGUACUGACAAGGAUUUGAUUGAGCAAGACUAUGAGGCCCAAGAUUGGGAUAGAAGAUUUCGAGAGAUAGAGAAGUCAGAUUGAGAAGAGGCUGCUGUUACUUGGUAAGUUUUCUUGUGUGAUGGAAUUUGUUAGUUCAUUUGAGUAACCAAAUAUGGGUGUGAUUUUUAUCAGUUGCAUGACUCCUUUUAGGAGUCAUUUUAUGCAGCAGCAAGGUCUAAGCUCUAUCGAUUUUAGUUUCAGCAUAUGGUACAUGUUCUCGCAAGCAUAUCUACAAGUAGCAACAUUAACAUACUGCUUGUCUAAAGAUGAUAAUUACUACAUUCAGGAAAUUGGAAAUGCAUAGAUUAUCAAAUAAUGGAUCUCUUCUUUUGCUCUUUUACUUUACUGAAUACUGAUUAGCUAAUUCAAUUGCAGAGACUAGAGCCAGGAGUUUUCUCCUUAAAGGAAAUGAGAGCUUCACAACUAUUGUUGUAAAACCAUCACACUGGAAGUUGUAUUGGGCAAGCUGUUGAUGCACCCUUGGAGCCUGCAGUUGUUUACAUUCCGAAAUUUGUGGGGGUACAGCCAGGAGUCACACCUUGUAAUAUAGAUUUUAGGUGGACAACAUAACCAUUUACAAAUGUGAACUUGAGCAUCACAGGGUUCAUAUAUAUUUUGGGAGCCCCAUACCCCGAUUAGUUGAAUAUUUUGGGAGCAGUAAGGCUUUAUGUGGCACUAAAUUACAGUAGAGGGCCAAAACUAAGAAAGGUGACUUAGCGUACAUGUCACCAUUAAUAGUGAACUUGUAGAACAUUGAUCGUUAAAAACAAUUGCUGCAUUGUUAUAAAUAGAUGGUUUUGGAGAUCCUUUUGAAAUUGCAUACAAUGACAAUCGGGGUUUCUUGAUUUGCUGCAUUUACCACCGCGGAGGUAUGCAAACGCUGCGUAACAGAAUUAGGUGGACCAUCCAAUUGCAAUAGCCAAUAGAUCAUGAAGUUUGCUCCUGCUGUCUAAUUACAUUUUUCUCAAUACAAGCAGUGCUAUUGCUAUCAGUCUGACUUAAAACUUGAAACAUAAAGAGCAAGCACUCGAAGUAUGUUGCUACAAGGAACCAUAGUUGGACACUGGCCCCAAAUGCCAAAGACAAUUCAACGGUUUCAUAAAAUGGUGGAGACAUGAAAGAAUAUUCAAAUCAAUGAUAUUUACAUAUAUGAAAUGAACUCCUGCCGAUGAGUUCACACUCUCUAAGGAGUGAUGUGCGUAUUUGCAUCUAAACGAGUUACGAGUACAACAAUCGGAUGCUGUAAAACCGUGUCAAUACCAUGAACAAACUCACAAAGAAAGCCCUAGCAUGCACCAGCAUGAUGGUCUAGAGUGUAGACAACCGACAAAUGAAUGUUUUAACCAAGAUGGGUACCUGCAUAAAGAGUAUAUUAAUAACCUGAUCUGGAGCAAAGUAAACAACAUCUUAAAGUGAUGAUCAUGUUAUCUCUCAUGUUCUAUAUAGCACGUCUAAUGUAAGUCAUAACAUGCUAGUUAAAGUAAAAUCUAUCUCUAUCUGAAUUCUUGCUACACAGAGAACUGAUGCCAUCUUAGCAUAACAGAUGCAGUGAUUAUGAAAUGGCCGUAGCAAGAUAAUCAGUUGGUUAUUUAACAAUCAAUUAGUUUUCUUCCAAUAUGACUUAUUGUUCAUUAUAUGAAAUAAUCAUUAUUUGAUACCUAAGGGUAGUUGAUAUAAGAAAAGGAGUACGACCAUGUCCUCACCUAUAAUAAUAAGUCCCAAUACUAUUAUCAAAACCAACAGAAUAGCAUAUCUCUGGACUUGGAUGCGGUAAGGUGAUCUUUGGUAUCUUGCCCUAAUUACACCAAGCCAGCUCUGCAAGUGCAUAAUUUGUGUUCGAAACUGAAGAGGUAGUGCAUUGAAAUAUCUAUACCCAUUGGCUAACCACAUACCCUGAUUACCCUGUCAAAUACAAGCAAACCAAUUAGCAUUUAGGCUGAAGAUUGAUAUGACACACAAGGUUUUCAUUAUAAACUGAUUCAGAACAUCAAGCUGAAUCAGAAAUAAUCAUGCCACAACAUUCCAGUUUUGAACUCUGACGCAGAGAAAAACAAAAACUUGGGUAUUGCCUUCUUAUAAUCUCAACAGUUUACAAAAGAGUAUGGACAUGACAUUGGAAACCUGAGGGGUCUCUUUAUUUUUCAAGGAAGAUAAGUAGAUUCUUGAACACAGAUUUUGAGAGUAAGCAAAAGAGUUGCCUACUAGUAGAAUCAUUUAAUGUGUGAGCCAUGAUCACUUAUACAACUAUGAGUGUACUAUGAGUGUAUAAACUCAUUUGUCUGUGCACCAUUUUCUCUUUCUUUAGUUUUGGAAAGCAGGAACGAUCUACUAUCCAGCACAUCUUUUGAAGUAUUUGUGAGUGCAAACAAGUGUCACACAUAGGCAGUAAGCCUUCCUAGUAGCAAUGAAGAAUAACCAGAAAUAAAAUAGAAGAAUAAAGCAUCACAUUUUGUACUCCAGCUAUCAAAUUAUCUGUUUUUUAGUAUGUCAUACAUCUAUGAAAUUCAUCGCAUGGAGCUUAUCCAAACAGCAUUCCCAUUGGAAAGUAUUUUCAAGGUCCUGCCGGAGAAGCUCCAAAUUUAAGGUUCCAUAAAGUCUUCGGCAAAAAUACUAUUGUAGCACAAACAAUUUUUAAAAUCGUAACCAAAAAUCUCAUUAAAGUCUUUUACAAAUAGAUUUAAAGUUUUUGUUUCCCAUCUCCAGAAGCUAUUGCACAGAGGCCUUGGAGCCAGACAUCCUAUCCUUGUUAGUUUUUUUUUUUUUUUUUUUCCAAGAAAAGUAGAAAACAACAACAUAACAAUUUCUUUUCCAUAAGCAGCCCAAAAUGCUGGCCUGCCAUUCUCCUAACUUAACUAAUCAUAGCUACUUCCAAGACACAAAAAUAAGCAUUUGGCACUACAAGCAAUCUAAUUACCUGGGGGGCAUGAGAUACAUCAGCAGAUGAUGGGGAAUGACUUUGUUCUUCUCCAUCUUUAAAUCUCUUAGUAUAACUCCUAGUGACCCUACUCCCAUAAUUAGUCCAUAUGUUAGUCAAGAACCCAUAUGGAUUAAUUCUGCUCCAGACACCUCUCAACUUGUUCUUGCUUGAGAAGUUUUCUGGUAUUGCUUCAUCAGCCUCCAGAUCCCAACUACCACCUUCACCAUGUCUCUUACAAGAGGUCUCUGUAAAUUCAAAUCCUAACCUCGUAUUAGGAUAAGAACUGACUUUCCUCAAGUUGUUCUCCUUCCUAGAAUUAAUAUUAUUGUCCACAUGCACUACUCCAUUCUCAACUUCUCUGCUUUUCUGUUCAACAAUCCCAGAAGUGCCGUCUUUGGCACUAGAUGACGUGGCUGGAUCAAGAAAUCUUCUCAACAUAUUACUGUCUUCUCCAUCAUAAGAAUCAGAUGUGACAUUUCCCCCAGUAAGAAACAAUGCCAACCCAUCUCUAUCUUGUUCAUUCAAGUUGACCCAUCUUGUAUUUCUCAUUGGAUCCUCGAUUGAUUUGCCCUCCAAGCUCUUCUCCACAUAAGCUAUUUGUUCCCUAAUGGCUCUGAUAAACUGCUUGUGCCUUGAAAUUACAUCCCCGUUUAUCUGGGAUUUGCCUGUCAUAGCUGAAAAGCUGACUGCUCUUUCAAAAUCUUCCAACUGGCAUGACAGAGUCACUGAAACCUAACUAAAUAGAAGACAAAACAAAACAAAACAAAAAGGCUCAAGAAAAAAAGGAGUUGACAUUGACAGAAAUUACCACCUGCCACUUUGCCGUUUCAAGUGUGGUUGCAAGCUCACGCUUAUGAUAAUCUAUCGACGCAUGCAACUUUGGGUCCGGAAAGUCAUCUUGAACAAGACCUAGCUCAUGCAGCAGAAAGCGGAAAAUCGAUUCCAUCCUAAAAUUCACACACCACACACACAAAGAACCUUAGUUCCAGAGAAUGCACAAUCCAUAAGCAGUCCCAUACAAUGUGAAUACCGAUGAACCAGGUUGAACAUGUAAUUUGAUUCGUUAUAUCUAGCAAACAACAUUGUGUAACAGAAGGGUAUAUCUAGCAAUCACUUGUGAAAGACAAUGCAUCUCCCAAAAGCAAAAGCACCCAUUCUCAAAUAACCCAAAGUAAGAAAUUCAGGGAAUCAAAAACUCAUGUACCACCAUUCUUACAAAACUCACUAACCUAGUCUCUAGGAAUGAACAUUCUCAAAAUUAAUUCAUUUAUCGCUCUUUUCUUUUCUGAUUGGGUUUUCAUUUAAAUCAAUGUUCUUUAUGGUUUCCAAAAGCAAGGGAAAAACUUGAACUUGGAUUAAAAUGAAAAGGGAACGAGAAAUAAACCUGUCAGCGGAAUCUUGAACAACUUCAGCGGCUGAAAAGAGAGGGUCUGAUUCCCAUUGGUGCAAACCCGACGCCAUUUUUGAUUGAUUUCUUCUUUACAUUCACCUCCACGAUAGAAAUUUCUAUUGACACAAAAAGCCCAUGAAUUUGAUAUUUGAAACGAUGAAAUGGAGAAAUGGAAUUGGAAAUAGGAGGGUUUAGGUCUAGGGUGGGUGGGUUUAGCCAAUUUCUGCGCAAACGCGUUCGUUAAAAUUAUGUGGAACUGGAACUCAGAUACUUUCUUUCUCUGGAGAAUAGUUUGAUUAAUUUUUCGGGAGUCUCAUAACCUGAAACACCAAUCUCCUUCCACCACGUGGAACAAAUUAUUUUUCUGUUUUACUAUUUUUCUUUUUCUGUUAAUUAUUUGCGCUUUACAAUUACCAUAAAAUUUUAUAUUAUAUCGUGUAUCUCUACAUGUCGUAUACUAAGAAUUAUUCGACUGCACCCUUCAGUUUUCAUGAGAUGAGAUAUAACCUGAGUUAUUGUUUGGUUCAAGAAACAUAAACAUCAUGAGAGGAAAAUUAUUCAUUUUAUGCGGGGUGGUGAAAUAAAAGAAAAUGAAACAUUGUCUUGACUAAACGGAAAUUACGGAAAUUAUGGAGGAGAGUCGAUCCUUUUAAAAUACAAAGGAACUAUUUUCCUCUAUUCUUUCAUUGUGUUACAAAACUUCCAUAAUGGAACGUUUUUAGAGAAUUUCAUUUCCUUGCUCUUCCUAUUCCUAUCCGAAAGACGAAUAAACUACAAUAUUACCUUUUUCAUGAACCAAAUGAGGUCUUAGUUACAGUAAUAUUAACCAUUUUAUCAAGGGAUUUUUUUUUUUUCAUUGGUUAGAUUGAGGAGAAGCAAAAGAAACAUUGGACAUUGAGGCAUGGCAGACGGCUAAUACAUCUCCUUUAGGGAGAAUUUAUGAAGAUCUGUGCUUCAAACUCUCACAGCAGAAUACAUGGAAAAUAAACCAUGUCAGCAGGAAAAGCAAUGCAGCUGUUCUUUGGCUGAUUUAGUGAAGAUACAAAGCAAGAUGAAUUCAAAUGUCCUUGAACAUGGUCAGAAGUUGGAGAAAACGGUCAUAUCUCACUUACCCAGUCAAUAUGAUGAUGUAGUGAAGAUACAAAGCAAGAUGAAUUCAAAUGUCACAAUUCAUUUUCAUCAAGCUGAGCUGAGCUCUAAUCCUUUUGGUGUUAAUCCUUUUGGUUUGGUUGAAUAAUUUCCUUUCGCCAUGGUUUUCUGUCAUAAGUUUAAAUAGUGACAUGCAAUGCUAGAUGCUGGUUGUUCAUCACUUUCUCAUGAAGCCGCUUCAGGCUGUAAUGAAUUUAAGAUGGUUUCUGAUGUCUUUUGCUUUUAGCUGGUAUUAUUGCAACUAUAUUUGAAAUAUGUGAUACAAAUAUAUAAAUUACUAAAGAACAUUGGUUUGAUGGAUUAUGCCAUAGCUAUUGUUUGAUUAUAACAAAUUAACAAUGGAGCUUUCACUUCCAGAACUCUUUCUAAUUUCUGAUUUUCUGUACAUCUAUAGGUCAAAGGAAACUAGAAGAACAUAAACACAUUGAUAUUAUCAGUCAAAUAUCCUCUCUUGGCAACUCAUAUUCUCUUCAUUACAUGUUGAUCUUAUAUAGGGUGAAGAUAUAAGAUCAUCAUUUUUGGCUCUACUCAGAAGUAUAGUCCUAAAACAAACUCUGAAGAUAAAAACACUUCUCAAAUGAAAUACUUCACCAUCUGAAUUUCUUUCUGCUUGUAGCCACAUUUCUCAUAGAAUGCUUUAUUAUCAACACUGCAAUCAAGAAUCACCUUAUAACAGCCCACAGAAUGAGCAUAAUCUGUGAGGGAAUUAAUAAGUUUUUUCCCUAAAUGCAAUCCACGAGCAUUGGAGUCAACCACAACAUCUUCAAUGUGCCCAACUUUACCACAGUUCCUUAUAAACUUCCUUUCAAUGAACACACUCCCAGUUGCAACUAUCUUCCCAGAACGAUCAUCUUCUAUAACAAACACCUGAUGGUCUUCAGCACGAGACUGAAGCUCCAUGAACCGAUCUUCAAAGUCUUUGUCAGAUACAGAGUCGCAAGUGGUUAGCUGUCGCAGUAGUUCUAUAAAGCCCUUGCUUUUAUCUGAGAGCUCUAAUUUUCUAACUUGGAAUUUCUGUUCCUCAUUGCUUGCCAUCUUUUCCAGUCUGAUCACUUGUUACCAACUGAAAAAGAUCCAUUUAAAUCGUAACUCAAACACACGGAACAGAUACUUAUGUAUUAAGCCACAUGAGUGGCAAAAUGACAGUACUACUAAGGCAAUGUUCAUUUGAAGGAACAUUAGAAGUUGAUUGAAGAAACAAAAGAGUGGUGAUUCCUAAGUAAAAAUAUUCAUUCCCCAAAACAAUAGAACUACCAAUCAUAACGCAGUUCCCUCACUAUUGUUUCAUCCCAUGUUCAUUCAAUCUCACAUUACAAUAACAAAUCUGAUGAAAUUGAUAUAGAAUACUCUAAGAACAGUAUAACUCGUUUAAAUGAACCUUCAAAGUAGGUUGAUCAAAAAUGGGUAUUCCUAUGAACCUUCAAAUAGGUCAUCUAACAAUGAAAUGCCCAUUCCAAUUACAAGGUCCAUUGAAAUACAAGGUUAUGAGGAUUUUAGGGUAGAAGCUUGAAUUGGAUUUUGUUAGAUUAUGAUUUAUGAAAAGUAAAAUCAAACAAACCUUUCACUAUUGACAAAAGAAAUAAGUGUAGAAAAUGAACCAAAAUUACCUCAAAAUCCCAACUUGAAGAAUGAGAAUCCAGGAUUGUGAUCUGGGUUUCUGGCCUUGUUUUUAAAUCAGAUCACCAAAGACUGAUAAAGCAGAAGACUUUAUAUAUUUAAAGGAGAAAGCACGUGACUUUUAGAGUUGGGCACGGGCCAAAUACCCGAUUACCGACUUGGCUAGAUUAGAGAGAGCUGUCGACGCAGGACGACGAGAGACGCGAGCUUUGUUUCAAUGGCGUGUUGAGAACUAGAGAUUGAGAUUUUGAGAGGAAUAAGCAGCAGCAGCAUCACCAUGGCUCCGGGGACGUUGAUUCUUCGUCGGCUCACGACGCACUUUGCCAAUCGAAUCAGGCAGAACCAGAGGCUUCUCAGCUCUCAUUUGUAUUCCUCUUCGGCGUUGGAAGAAGCUCCUUCCUCUUCUUCUUCUUCCUCGGCGAACUUGGAUGGCGUUCACAUGACCGACACUUGUAUUCAGGUGCUCUUUCUGUUUCUCUCUAUGUAUCAGAAUUGAUGUAUGUGGCUUUGUGGAUUCUCUUUUUCUUGUAGUGAAUUUGGGUUUUGAGUUGUUAUGGUAAUCAAGUUUAGGGUUUGUGAGAGGGUUGUUGGGCUUGCUUCAUUUUUUUGUGAUAAGAAGAUGAAUUCCAGGAAUCGAGGAGAUAUGAGGAACCACUGUUUUUAUUUUUUCAAGAGCAUAGCUGCAUAACCCUCAAUUCAAUGUAUGCAUAGUUAUAUACUUGUUUUAGAUUUCAAAUUGAUUUAGUUACGCUAGAUUCUACAUAGACCAUCCACUAUUUGGUGUCCUUGGUGAGAGAUUUGAGAUUGUGCAUCCCAGUUCUAUUGGUGUUGUUUCUUGCUUUGUUGCUCUUAAUGAAAUCAUCUGCUUGCCGAAGAGAAACUUCCGUAGAAACCGGACCAUUGAAAUGGUUCAAAGUAAUUAUUUACUGCAGAGAAUCAUUAGUGAGGUAGCAUUAAUCAUUAGUUUUCUGGGACUUUCUAGUGGAUGAAUGAAGAGAUUCACUGAUUUCUUUUGUAAGGCACUAAUGAAGCUUUAUUCUAGAAGUUGACGGGAUUACCAUUUCUGAUCUUUUUGUCAUGAAAUGUUUUAUGGCAAGCCUUGUCAUCAGCGAAUUUUAAUGGAGACUUAAGAUUGUGACCUUUUGGGUUUCUGAUGCUUAUGAGUUUGCAACAUGAUUUGCUUUUGCUGACUUUGGCUUCCCAAUGAAUGUGUUAUAGAAAAUGAAACAACUGAAAGCGAGUGAAGCACAGGAAAAGAUGCUCCGCUUGAGUGUAGAAACAGGUGGAUGUUCUGGGUUCCAGUAUGUUUUUGAUCUUGUGGAUGACAAAACCAAUCCAGAUGACAGGUUUAUAUUUUCCCCUUCUCAAUCCCUAUACAUGUAAUUCUUUACUGAAUUAGAAAAUAUGCUUCUGCUUAUCAGGCUUGCUUGUUUAAUUGAACAUUCACACACCAGCAUUACAUUUUUGACACCUUUUUUUCUUAUCCCCCUGUUGGUAGAGUGUUCGAGAAAGAAGGUGUAAAAUUGGUGGUCGACAAUAUUUCGUAUGAUUUUUUGAAAGGGGCAACCGUUGAUUAUGUUGAGGAGCUGAUCCGUUCUGCUUUUCAAGUGAGUCAUUUAUUUUGUGUCCUUGCAUGUUUACUGAAUGUAUUUGUUCUUGUAUGGCGCUCUUAUACCUGUGUAGCCAACAUGGAAUCUCUUGAUUAGGGUAAAAAUAUAAGUAAAAUAAACUCUCCAGGAUCGAAUUGUUCAGAAUUAUUGAUGUUACCUAAUGACUUAUCUUACUGAGUGUGAGAGAAGUAAGAUACAAGACAACUAGCAUAGUGGUAUUGUAUUUAGGAUGUAUACAAUUGGACAUAUCAUGUACUCUUUGGCUGUGCUGGUGUUGGGGAUGUCCAAGAUACAGUUCCUCCUGAAAGAUCAUAUGACCUGUGGGUUUAUAUUGCCAUAGAGGCAUAGAUAUCAUUAGAGUAUUGCCCUUGUUUGGCACAUGUUCCUUGUGCUCUAAUAGGCUGCAGUGCUCAUAUGCUUGUGCACAAAUAGGUUAUGCUAGUGCCUUGUACUGUGUGAUUGCCUGGAUGUUCUGUUUGUGUCCGUCACUGCUCUGGUUCUAAAAAGAAAACGUUUAUGGCCUGGAACCUGCUGACCACCUACAUUGGUAGGAGAAAUAUAUUAUUUGAACCUCCAAGUAAACAUGUCGCUGUUUGUACUAGUUCAGACCUGCAUUAAGAUAGAUUUACGAGGAAAGUCUCAAUGCCAAGGUGUAUUCUCCCCUGAUGUUUAUGUUUAGAAUGUUAGGUUUGUCUAGAUUUUUAGCCAAGACCAAUUUAGGAUAUCGAACCAAUCACUAAUAUUAGAUUUUCUGCAAAACUUUAGGCACAUCAUCUAUCUUAUUAGGAUAGUGCAGUCUUUUGCAGAAAAAAAAAUUUACUAAAGCUGCAGCUCAAAACUGUGUACUCAUCAAGGGUUGUAGAUCCACAACUUCGAGUUUUUUAUUACAUGUAUUUGCAUUGCUAUGUAGUUACUGGUCGGUGUGUCAUCUGCUCAAGAGGAUAUGCAUGUAUGAUUUACCAUUUGCUUUCAUGUUUCUUUGUCUAGUUAAGCAUAUGAUUUUCAUAGAAUCAACAAGCCAAAUGAUUUUAACGCAAAUGAGUACUGUCACUAGUACAAGGUUCAUGUAGAACUGACAUAAUUCUGGUUUUACGUUUAGGUGACAGAAAAUCCAAGUGCAGUCCAGGGUUGCAGUUGCAAAAGUUCUUUCAUGGUGAAAUUAUAGACUUGUACUAUUAUGCUGAGAGGGCUGAAUCAGAUUCAGCUGAAAUCCAUUUUUGAAUAAUGAUUAUUUGACUACAGUGAAUACAGUUUUUGACAUAUCAAGUGCUUGUAUCACGUCAUUAAAAUUUCUUACCACUACAAUGGUAGCGCCAAACGUUGAUCAGUACCUUUCAACCUCCAAUGUCCGAACCAACCUAUGGAUCAACUGCAAUCUUCCUCUGUUUUGUUCUUUGUUUUCCAUAUUGUUGAUACUAGUGAUUGUAACAACCGACUAUCAUUUGCAAGUUGGAUUCCAGAUAUCAUGAAUAUAGAGAUCAUGAAUAUAGAGAUCAAUUCCUAUGCUGCUUCUUGCUUGUAAUUGAAUUGAAACAGGUGUAGAACGGCUGUAUGUUUGAUCUUACUUGAUGAAUAGUUGUUUGGUUAUGAAAGAACAUAAAACUGAAUUGGAUAGCAGCAAGAAAAAAUAUUCGUGUUAGGGUGCAGAAAAGAUUUGGGAAGAUGGAACACAUUGUUUCAUGUUAAGAUUGAAAGCUGCUUCCAGCUGACACAUGGGAACCAAAACUUAUUCCUGCUAUGAGGCUCGGGAAAUCAAGAAAUAUAUCAUGCUGAACAAAGGGGUUGAAUACUUGAAUUUGGUGGGUUAUGCAUUGCUUCAGUAUGCAACAAAGGAAAACAAACUGAAAAUAAUCCCUGUUCAGUAUGCAUUGCUUCAGACCCAAGAAAUGAAGACAUUCAAGACAGCAAAUUGUAAAUGCUCAGACAUAUCCAACCGGCAUUGCAAGUUGUUGGAAAAAAAAAAAAAAAAAAAAAAGAAGACUAGUACACAACAAACUAAAAACCAUGACAAGCAGAUAUUGAAGAACAAACAGAAUCCCUUCAAAAUUAAGCAUUCAAUUGAACAAAAAUCACAGUACACCUUGUAGUUUAGGCUAUGAAUUUAAACUAAAGUAAACAAAAGGAUGAUAGUUUUGCUACUGCUCUUCGUCCACAUAAUAGCUCCUGCUGAAACGUAAGAACUUAGUAGAUUCGAAUUGCUUUGCCCAUGGUGCUCUUCAGGUUCAACGACCUCACCUAUUUGACAUUCAGUGAAAAGAACCAAAUUAGUGACACAUAACAAAAUGAAAAAUAAACACCCAAAUGCUUCAAGCAGGAUGUAGCCCUGAACUUACAUUCUGCCAAUUCUUCUUCAAUAGAGAAACCAAGAAAUUGACACUGAGUUGCACAUUCUGGAAUAUCUGCUUCUCCUCCAUGGCAAGAUUCCCGACAGCAACACCCAUACAAAGAACCUUCUUGAGUUGGAACUUCACCAUGGCCUUGGUUUCAUUAAGCUUUGCCUCCAGAGAUUCCUGGUGACUCACAAGAGUUGGGAACUUACCUGCAAUGUGGCAACCAAACAAGACUUAGCCAAUCUACUCGUAAUAUCUAUUUAUUUAUUAACAUGAUAAUUGCAACAAUGAAUGCUCCACAAACAAGCUAAAUACAGUCUCAAAUAUAUUGACUACCCUAAUAUCAACAAUGCAAGUUCAGCAGCUAUACUACUCUAGACAGUAUCAAUUAUAUGGAGUCAAAUGCAUCUCUAAUAUCACCAUCACAUUGCAAAAAACCUCUAAGCCAACAAACAGAACAAACAAGGGAACCUAAAAGCUGCAACAACAAGGUAAAGCCUACUUGCCUGCCUUGUUGAGUCCAGGGCCCAAAAGACGAGGAAUUUGCUUGAUGACAGCCUCAGAAGCCAAAAAAGCAUGAUACUUCUUUGCAAGCUUCUUGACAAGCUUCUUGUUCUUGUUAAGCUUCUUCAGGGAUUCCACAUCCAUGUAGGCCAAUCCCAUCUUCUCAGCCUGUAGAACAAUAAAAGCAUUUAUAUAAUCAGGAACUUUCACUUGAUAACAGAAACACCCACACAACACACAUACAUAUCAAAUCAGUAAACGUUUUCUAUAUACCUCUUCGACAUGCUGGGCAUCUCCAAGCAUACAAACCCUCAUCUUGGGGCGAGGAAUGUGGGGAAGCCUGACGGAACCGCUGAAACGCUUGUCCUUUUGUGGGUCAUAGUUCUUCAGACCAAUCUGCAACUCCACAGUCUCAGUGAACUUCCUCUUCUUGGUCUCCGCAUUAGUCUUGAUCUGGGAGAUGGCCUCCCUCAAUGCCUCACUUUGAAGCUUACUGUAGCCAAAACAAACAACAGUAUCAAUAAUAAGAAAAACCCUAUCAAUCAAUACAAACACUUAUACAGAUUCCAAAACCCCAAUCAACUCAAAAACCCAGAUUACCAGUAUUAGGGUUCAUCUUGUGAAACACAACAACGUUCAUAAUCACAGAUUCCAAAACCCUAAUCAAUUCCUAGCUAGACGAAACGAAUAUGUAGUAAAAGAAGAGCAGAAAAGAUAGAUCUUUUGAUUACCUCAUGACGAAAUCGGAACAGGGAUGAAGGAAUGAGAGGGAUGGAGGAGACGGCUCUGAGUGAAAGGCGAAAGAGUGAGGAGCGUAGCGCUUUUAUAUAGAAACCCUAGCUACGUUUUCCGCACCUGCCCCUCGCACGUGCCGCUAUUUUUGUUUAUUUAACUUGGAGCCCUCGAUUUAUGGCUUUUCUACUCCAUUUGGCCCAUUGGGCAGACGUACGCGCUUAUAGAAAAUUGUCGCGUGGAUGUCAGUGUUUAACGUUAAUUUGCCGUUAUAGGAAACCCAAACUUCCCAUUUCUCAAACUCUCAAACUGUAUUCAGAGAAUCAAAUUUUUCUGAGUGUUGUGUUUUUGCCUACGGCCUCUCAAACCAGCUCCGCAAAACUUGGCGUUCUUUAGGGUUUCCUCAAAAGUUUUUUCUCUCCGUCCGACCGUUGACUUCAUCGUCGGACGGGAUUUCAUUGAUAAUCGGUUGGUGAUUAGGCUCUCUGGGUUUGUGGUGAACUAGUGAUGAAAGGAGAGGUUUUUUGGGCAGGAAUCUCGUAUGAUUUAAAGAAGGAUUGUCUUAACCAAAGAAUUAUAUGUCUUGAAUCACCACAACAUCUUCAAAUUGAGCCUAUAAAAGGAGAAGUUGAGGACCUGAACAACCAUCGAGCAACCCAAAAAACACUUAAAAACAACCUCAUAUCAUUUCAAACCUUCAAAUCGCCGAGGCACCAUACCUUCAAGGCUUCAAACUCCAAGCUCAGUUAACAUCUUCCCAAAUAGCUGUAUUUAACCCCUAUAUUUAAUUUACGAAAACAGUUUACCCAAUAAACUUCCAAAUUCUGUCACCGCAGUGUGUUUCUAGCUCCUACACCACGCUCACGUUGUCGAGCUCGUUUUGUCAAGCUCGUUUUCUUCUCAUUAAUCACACUUUUGGUUUAUUUUGGCCGAGUCACCACUUAAGUCAAAAAAGACCCUCACAACUACUCAAUUCAAUGUUGUUGUGAAUCGAUUAGAAUGAGAUCUUGAAAACACCCAACACAAUACAAUAAGAGAAUUACACAUAGAAAUAAGAAAACAUCUAUAAUGUGGUUUGAGAAAUUUGGUUAUGUUCGAUCACUAGGAACUUAAGAAUCUUCCUUGGGAAUAUUGGGUCUACUGAUGUAGUCAAUUAAAAUCUUUGAAUCUCCCUCGACUAUAAGCUUCUAAUGGUUAUGUAGCAGAGUAGCCAGAAGAUUGUAAAAUUUGCAUAAGGUUGAGUGUCAGUUCACAUCCAAAAACAAUUGGCAAUGGAUGAAGUGACACAAACUGUUAUAAACUCAUAAAUAAAGUCUCAUAUUCCUGAUGUGGGACUUAUAUCUCAACACACCCUCGCACGUGUGGCGAACUUUUAAGCCUAACACGUGGUCAACUUUUGGGUGACGUGGAGUUCGUGUGGCCAUUGAUACCAUGAUAAAGUAGUAUGAGGUUUACAUUCAAAAUCAAUUGGUUAUGGAUGGAGUGUUCCAAACCUUGAUAAACCCAUAACAACGUCUCAUAUUCUCGAUGUGGAAUUUAUAUCUCAACACAAUAGACGAAUCAUCAAAACUUAGAGAUAUAUAUAUAUAUAUAUUGAAUUAAUGAUUGGUCUUUUUCCAGAGCAAGCAGUAUAAAAUGUAAAGAUCAAGGAAGAAUAUAUUGUCCUUUAACUAAUGAUGAAUCAAGGCCAUGAAGAAUCAUUAUGUUCUUGCAUGUUCUUAACAAAACAAGAAUGGUUUUCUCCAAAAUGAAUGGUCCACAUUUUUGGUCAUUUGUCCACUUGAUGUUUGGUACUUAAGACUACAUUACACCUCUUUAUUUUUGAAGAUUGUCCUGAACUCAUGUGGGCUGCCUUAAGUUGUACCAAUAUUAACUCAUAUUUGGUGGUGUACAGGAUUAAAGAGUAGUUUGUUUGGUUUAUUAUUAAAAGGAUGAUGUUAUCUAAAGAAAACCCAUUUGAGUAUCCACAAUAACACCAUCUAAGGUGACCAGAAUGAAAACAAAUUGUUAUGUAAACUCAUUUAUUUUUGUACGUAGUGAGUAGUGACACCAAACAUGAGACUAACCAAACUGGACUCCUUAUUUAACACAGUCAUACUUAGUCCCAACAAACAAACGUGCAUAGUAAUCGAUUCCCGUUGAGAUAUGUUUGUCUUGAUCUUUGAAUAUUCAUUUGAUUAAGAUCAGCUUACUCCGGGUUAAUUAGAAUCUACAUGCUGGAAACUGCGUCUUAAUUUCAAUAGCUUGCAAACAUCGUCUAGGAUAAAUUUUCACCUUCUUUCAUCAUUUCUCUACAUGUUCCUAUCACUAGUUAGUUUCAUUGUCAUUUUUUCAUACCUUAUAAAAUAGUGGUGCUCCCUAAUGGAAACAAAACUUUCCUGAUCAGGUCACGGUCAUGAUAUAGAAUGAUUCCCCCUCAUUUCUUCGAAACUCACGUACAACCCUCUUCUAUUUGAAGUAAUUAAUUAUAAAUCCACCUAGCUAGCUAAGUUAUAUACAUGCACCCUUCAUUUCUGUUGAAUUCAUUGGUGAUUGGUCUCAUUUUCGGAAUCAUGGCCCCAAGAAAUUAUUCUAUCUCCAUGGCUCAAUACUGUUGUUGCGUUCUCAAACCGAUUCCUGGAGGGUUUUCGUGGCGAAAACUUCCCAGAUGGUUAAAAUGUCUGGUCUUGUGCAAGUGCAUAAUCGGCCACAUCACGUUCUGGUUUGGAGCGUUCCUAUUGAUUUUCUGGCUGGUCUUCCUUCCUCACGAGCCUAGAUUUACUGUUACGGAUGCCCCUCUAACCCAAUUCAUUUUCAGCAGCAGUGACAGCAGCACCGGUACUAAUCUUCACUACCACCUCGCCCUCAACAUCACCAUCAGAAACCCCAAUAGAAGGGUCGGCAUUUACUACCGCAGCAUGACAGUGUCUGCUAGCUACAGAAAGAAGAAGUUUGGCCUGGUAAAUUUGACGGAUCCGGUACCAUUUUACCAAGGCCACAAGAACACAACUCUCUUGCAUCAUCUUGUGCUUAAAGGGCAGCAGCAGUUGGUGAAAUUUGGGAAGCGUGACAUCUCCCAGUUUGACAAGGAGACUGUUGCUGGGGUUUAUAGUAUUAAUGUGCAGGUAACUUUUCGGGUCAACGUCAGGUAUGGAAAGAACAAGGUGAAGUUUUUGAAACCGGAAACCUACGAUGACCAACAUAUCAACUGCAAGCUGAAACUUCCUUUCAGUGUUACUAAUGAGACAUCUGGUAAUGGUUUCAAGGCUACAAAGUGCGAUGGUGUUGGUAUAUUCAAGGACUUACCAUACUGAUCGAGCAAAUUAUCCCAAAAAAAAAAAAAAAUUGUUUUACUACAGUUUGCACGGUAUAUAAGCUCCAUUUCUGAAUUACUUGAAUAUUGUAAAAGUUCACCAAACAUAGAAGACAGUUCUCUGUUUUGGCAUUACUAGUAAAAUGGGCUAUAGCCACCCCAUUCUGGACACUCUCAUGUAACGGUGUCUCUUUGCGUGCGAUAACCAUAUUGUGAUUCUUCAGUUAUGGUGAGUUGCUUGCUUUAUAGCUUAAUUUGCAUGAUGGACUUGUUUCUUUCUCUGUCUUUACGUCUUCAUAGCGGACAUGAACUUGUAAAUCAUCUCCAACAUUAGAUGGAUCCCUUCCAUACCUAAGUAAGAAAGCAAACAUGAAACCAGCACAACACUCAAAUUUGAAGCUAUGCAUAUGCUGAUUUGCUACCCUGCUUAACUUGAUUUCAGCUGACUGAAACAUUUGGGAUGUGCUCAUGUGCAUAUGCACAGCAUCUACACUUCUGAAGUUUCAAGCAACAGGUUCUGCACGAAGCAUAUGCAGAUAACAAGGAUAUACAUCAUGUAAACCAGGGAAAAUGAAAUGCAGACUUUUAUAGUGAACAUCCCCCAACAUUGCUUUACUCCACGUCCUAUGUGCCAUAAUUCAACUAUGCCUAAUUUCUUAUGCCUUCAGUAACAUUGAUGAAGGAGAUGACUUCUCUAACGCAAGAAUAUUACAAGGGUCAGAAACAAUGGAGUCCAUUGAAUGGACGACCGACCUUCUGAUCAGUGACAUCACUGACAUGCCACUUCGCCUAAGAUGCCUCGCCAGUUUUCUUGAUGGUCUUCAUUUCCUUAUCAUUUGAAUGCCGAGUUUGGGACCCAAUUUACUGUCAUGAAUGCCUUAACGUCACCAACAACUCCAGUGCCACUCUCCAUUACAACCUCGCCCCCAACAUAACCAAACCCCCACAAAAGGAUCGGAUGUGUUACCCAUUUCUACUAGCCACAGAAAUAAGGAACUUGGUUUUAGUGACAUUACCAUUGCCAGUGCUCCAAUGGCAGCAUCAAUGAAAUUUGGAUGCUGCCGCCUGGGGGGUCAUAGACUUGUAGUAUUAGAAUGCCUCUCAAUUUUCGGGUUAAGGUAGAUCUGAUAUUGAAGCUCCGUUUUUAUAGCAAUUGAAUGAAUUGAUAGAGGUAGAUUAGAUUUCUAGUUAAUACGUUGAUUCAACAUAAGUAGACUUUCUCCGAAUAUAAAUUUUCUCAACCAACCUUUAACAAUAACCUCAAUUUAUCAAAGGUAAGGAAACCCAAACCACUCAUGAGAGUACAUGAACCAUUGUCAGAGUCAACCUGACCAUACACAAACAAUUCAACUUAAAAUGUGAACAUGAUUGAUAUGUAAGUUAGAUCCGCCCCAAAUCUUUUAUUACAAAAAUGAGUUUCUACCUAAUGCAACUUUUGGAAAGCGAAAAAAAUAAAUGGCGAAACAGAAGAGUUGAAAAUUCUACUCAUCAACUGGCCUUUGCCCCAAAACUGGGAUGUCUUCAUACCGUUUCUGUGUAAGAAAAAAGCAUUGAUGUCAGAUGUAAUAUGGAAAAUCAGAUUUUCUUACAAGUAAUUCAUAUUGAUAAUGCUGUAAACCCCUUAGUACCAACUAGUACAGAAAAAUCUUGACUGCAAAGAAGGUAUAUACAUCACAUGUGACGUGUCAAUGGAUGCAGAAAGCAAAUACAACACAUCAUUUUGCCCCAGACUCGUACAAUAUUUCUCUAGAAAAGGCCAUUUCACUAGCAAAUAUCUAAUUCUGAACAUGCAUCUGUCAGUCUAAUGAACAUAGGCAUACUUCUGGCCAUGUAGCAACAAUUCUCUAUAGAAGCAAAAGAAUAGGUAGAAGCUACACAUAGGAACUAAAAUUAUAAUUUUUCACAAAAUAUGUAAACCAAUAAUACACAGAGAUACACAUGUAAAAUGUUCAAGCCCCCAUAUUUUGAUAAUCAGCAACACAAGAGAUGGAUCACAAACUCAUAUACAUAGAAUCAGUGAGUGCAUGCAAAGCACCAAAAAAGAAAUACAACGGACAAACGUUAAACAGGUGACAUACCCCAACAUUGUUGUACUCCCAUAGCCUAUGAACUCCAUAAUCCACAGCCUGAAACGAGGAAAAUAAGUAAAUAAAAAACUCAAAUAUUUGUUCAUGUUCUUUCAGAAAAAAAAAAAAAACUACAGAAAUCAAAUACUUAACAUUGAGAAAAAUGCACAUAAAACAAUUUCAGCAAAGAAGAAACAAGCUUGCACGGAACAAUGUUUACGCCCCAAACAUAAAUGAUUAUGUAUGAACUAUUUCGUGACCAUUUUCAAAACAAAAACAGGUCUUUUAUUCUAUCCCUACAAAACGUAAACACCUUAGUGAUGAGGCUAAGAGCAUCUCCAUUUGGCCAAGUCAUAAAAAAGGAAAGCCCUUGUCACAAAUUGGGACAAAUUCAUGACCGCAAAGCACCACAUCAAUAUCCAUGGUCCAGACUGCUACAUAAAGUCACAUUAACAAAAAUGUUCCAACUACCAUACAACAAAGACAACUGAAUUUGGGAUAUAAGAGUAUUUCAAAAACCAAUUUUUAAGCAUCAUGAUAAAAACAAAAUUAAUCAAAAGCCCAUCUUUCCUCUGCGUGUCUGCCUUGCUACCCCCUCAAAACCAAAACUCCCAACAUGAAUCACUGCAUUUGGAACAUAGGUAUUGUCUAAAUGAUGUCCACAACGAAAUAAAGACUUUUGUACUCUAUUCUAGUCAUCUAUAAAUCCAGAUCAUCAUUGAUUCUUCUAGUACCUAUAGAACGCACCUCAGCAAACAAAACUAUUACGUGUUGUCCUCAUUGUUUAUUUUAGCUGACUUUGGAAUAUGACACCUUCUCUAUCUCUCUGUCUCACAUCAGUUUCCAUCUCCUACCAGCAUUUCCAUUUCUUCUGAAUAAUUGGUGACGACAGUUUGAGGACAUCAAACCUUCUCAACCAAAAGUCAGCAGGGGAAGGCCUCAAUCCACCAAAUUGAUACCCAAAGCACAAGUGUUCAGAAAAACACAAGUAAAGAAUACUUGUCUCUUUCAUGUACAUGCCAACAGGUUCCAGUACCUGCUAGCUCAAGAUGAUCCAUGAUUAAACUUGUCAUCUUAGCAUGUACAUUAUGCACAGAAACUAUAGACUUUUUUCUUUUUCCAUUCGCCUUUGCUUUGGAUUCUAUAGCAACACAGCAUUUUGUUGUCAAUCAAUCUCAUCCAGUAGACCAUGUGUAAUUGUAUGGUGUUUCCUGGUCAGCCAGAAACAGUGUUUCCUAAUCUAAAUACAAUGUACAUUCAUCGUCACAGAACAAGAUCUACUUCGAAUUCAAUGCUGAGUCCCCCAUUUACAACCUCAAUCUCCACACAAAAGCAUUGCAUAACUACCACCAACAAAAUUUCAGAUUUCUGAAUUUUUAUCAUCCAAAGACCAAAUGACAAAGGCCCGUCUAAACCCCAAACAGAAAAGGAAUAAAGGUUCUGAUUAAACCUAGGAAAUUCAAGCACAAGCCUUGAAUGGCAAAAUCGAGCAUUCUUCACUAUGUAAACUUUCUACCAAUCCAACGCACAACUUCAUAACUACAGAAAUGCCUAAAAAAUUCAAACACAAAAACUGAUCAUAGUAAAUUGUUGCGAUAAUAUACUGAAAGAGAAAGAAUUUCGCAUCAAGCAAUAAUGAUAUCUGAAUUCCAUAAAACCGAAAUCUAAUAUCUGAGCUCAACGCCAUACUGUGUUAACCUAAUCCCAAAUCAAGCAACUUCAAUUUCGUCAGAUAAAUUAGCAAUCAAAUAAACAAUAACCAAGAGAAACAUAAACCAUAGAAUCAGUUCGUGAAGAUCUGAGGGCUUACCCGCUCGCCGAGAAAGGCGCCGGCGAUGACGAAGGUGACAUAGACGGAGUUGCGGCGCAUGAUGACCCUGUAAAGACCUUCGAAGAGGCCACCACCGCUUCUGCGAGCCGUCGCUGAUUCCAUGGCGAUUGGUGCGAGUCUUGCUUCGGAUCUGUGCGCUAGGAUUUGCUCAGAGCUCUGGCGUCUCCGAAAUGGAAUAGAGAAGAAGACGACUCUGAUGUCUAAUAUGCCCUUCUGGUGAAGUUCUUUUGGGCCAGAUAUAUAUUUGGGCUUUGAAUUGGAGUAAUUGGACCAUUGGAGGAAUUGUUUUUUUUUUUUUUAAUAGAAAGCAAUUAUUCUGAUUAAAAAAAAGGUAUUUAUUCAAUAUAGAAAAAACUAAUCAAAAGUAUAUAGUGAUUUCAUUAACCCGUCACCGACAGGAAGAGCACAACGCUCCAUUCAAACUUACUCAAGAAUAUAACUCUUGAAAUAAAACGGGAGACGACCUUUCUGGUACCAUCUUUCAUCAAUAAGUAAGGAAUAAUUAUGCAAGAGCAAGAACGUAUUUGGCAAAACAAGUCAUUUGUUUUGAUACUUAACAUGUUGCGCAAAGAUUUUCAAUAACUGAUUAGACACAAAUUUGAUUUAUCCUUUUUUAUUUUUUUUUACAAUAAAAAUUCAAUACAAAUUUAGUAUGUCACUCCAUUCACAGGUGUGAUAGCAUCUUAAACAUUGUUGUGUGUUGAGUUUAACGCGGCAUCACUAUUUACUAUAGACUUUUUGACUGUAUUUUAAAUCAAGUUACGUCGAUUUUUUAGUUAUAUUUUGAAUCUUGUUUAAUUUGCGGAAUAUUUUUUUUCAUUCCAAACACAAAAAGUUAUUCGUGAUGCUUCUAUCGAGCUACCAAUGGAAGUUUAAGAAUUUAGAUUUUUCAAAACCAUCAAAACCUUUAAGAAUUUAAAAAUAAAAUCAAGAUUUUAAUUCACUCGAACUCUCCACACUAGGAACUCGAGUUUGUGUUGAACUGUUGAUGCAACUCGCUCUAAAUUCUAAAGCCCUACCCAAAAGCUCUCUCAAACUUACGUAUUUGUCAACGCGCGCACAUCAACAACUCACGCCGACCUUUCCAAACACCACCGGCACUACCUAACCCCCUUCCCUUCACUCUCUCCACCCAUGGAGACUCUCAAGCAGAUUCAGAAGCUCGAGGGCCACACCGACCGGGUCUGGAGCCUCGCGUGGAACCCACUCUCCGGUCUCAACGGCCACCCCCUAAAACUCGCCUCAUGCAGCGGCGAUAAAACCGUCCGUAUCUGGGAACGCAAACCCUCCAACUCCUGGGAAUGCCAGGUCUUCCUUCUUCUCCGCUUCUUUUCAAUUUUCUCGUUUACAAUUCUGUACUGAGGUUUCUGGGUUCUAGGCAGUUCUGGAUGAUCCGCACAGCAGGACCGUCCGAUCGUGCUCUUGGUCCCCCUCCGGUAAAAUCCUAGCCACCGCCAGCUUCGACGGCACCACCGCGAUUUUCCAGGACGUUGGGGACGAUUACGAGUGCGUCUCCACUUUAGAGGUAGUUUGAAAGACUGUUGUCGUUAUUGUGUCUUUUGCUUGAUUCUAGGAGUUGGUUUUGUUUUUGAUUUCGGUUUGGGUUGUUGGGGAAUUAGGGUCACGAGAAUGAAGUGAAGAGUGUGUCUUGGAAUGCGUCCGGGUCUCUGCUUGCGACUUGCGGGAGGGACAAGACUGUGUGGAUAUGGGAGGUGUUGCCGGGGAAUGAGUUUGAGUGCGUUGCGGUGUUGCAAGGCCAUACGCAAGAUGUGAAGAUGGUUCAGUGGCAUCCCUCUGUGGAGCUUUUGUUUUCGUGUAGCUAUGACAACACUGUCAAGGUAAAGGAUUUUCUUGGAGUUGGAUGAGUAAAAGAUUGCUUUUUCGGGUUGUGUGUAUGUGAGACUGGGAGAUUGGAUAUUUUGUGAUUGAGUGCAGUGUUUUUCGUGUAGAUAUGGGCAGAUGAUGGUGAGGAUGAUAACUGGGUGUGUGUGCAAACGUUAGCUCAAUCUAACAGGUACUACGCAAUAUCCUCUUUCUAUGUUCAAAUUUCUGUUUUGUUUGCUCAGAAUCAUUCCGUGAUUUUAUGUAAUAUUUAUGAUAGGUGUGUAGUGUUUUUCUCCUCAAGUACCUUAUUCUAAAACAAGACCAUGUUGAUCAGUUAGAUGACAUAGAUGGGCUCAACCGUCCAUAUAUAAAUCAAAUCAAAUACAAUCUCAUUUACGGAACCUAGGAGGGAAUAUGUUUUGUAGAUAUACACUGCCUUAGUGGUCUAGAGCAAUGGUGCUUGUUAAAGUAUAGCAUUUUGUCUUGAAUUCAGUCUAAUUCAGUUCAACUGGUUUUCUUGGUAGUGGUCACUCUUCUACUGUAUGGGCUCUAUCAUUUAAUGCUACGGGAGACAAAAUGGUUACCUGCAGGUAAGGAUAAGUGAUCUGCUAUCCUAAUUCCAUUAAUGAGAAUCUGUGACAAACAGAAAGUAAGUUUCGGGCUGUACCUAAUAAACUAAUGAUGGACUGAUAUGGCAGUGAUGAUCUUACCCUAAAGAUAUGGGGAACAGACAACGGGAAGAUGCUAUCUUCGGAUGGCUUUGCACCUUGGUGAGGAGCAUGCUGUGUUAUGUAUAUUUAUCUUUUUAAAAUCCAUUUUGUGAAUUUGGUACAUUUUAAAUUGCUAAAUAUUGUUUAUGAAAUAUAUAUUAAACCAUGGUCAUUGGUUUAAGUUGAAGUGGUUGUUGAAAUGGAGAAAAAAUGUGGUUUAACUUAAAAAAAAAAAAAAGAUAGGACAUAUUCAUUAGAAGCAUCUUUGAUAUAAGACAUAUUCAUUAGAUUUAGCAGUAGCUUCAGACAGUGAAGUAAACUGGAUGCAAAUGAUAUGGAGUCUACAGAAAUAAACUAAUUUGAAUUGCUUCCUUUCUCUCUCUCUCUCUCUCUCUCUCUCUCUCUCUAUAUUNNNNNNNNNNNNNNNNNNNNCUUCUCUCUCUCUCUCUCUCUCUCUCUCUCUCUAAUAUUGAUUUCCGUACUUUUAGUUCCCUGUGAUUUGAUUUCCUCUGCAUAGUAUUUCUCUUCCUGGGAGCAGUCAGACUCCCUGAUACAUGCCUCCUUCAAUUUUAUACAAUUGAACAUGACUUGAAGUGCUGUAUGUAUUCUAGAAUGAGGGCAAUGCAUUGAUAGGAGUCAUCUUUACUGAAUUUGAAAAUUGCUCUAUCUAUUAGUCUCUUAGUGUUUCUUACAUGAAUGCGACUAUUUUAUUUUCCAGAUUAAUGUGCUUCCACUAGGUUUCGCAAAAUCAGGGAUCAGGCUUCAUUUCUUUAAGGCAUGAAAACCACUUGCUUAAGAUAAUGCUGGCAGUUGUAUUGUAUUGGUUGUAGGGUUUGUCUAUUUUUCAGUUCAAAGUAUAUUUUUUAAAUGUUGUUGAUGCCUUCAUAGUUAGAAGUUAGCUAUUUGCUUACUGAUUUUGUAGUCACAACAUUGGCUGCUUUUGAAUUUAAAUAAUGGUUAGUGUUUCACUAUCUGUUGAUAUCAAUGUUCUCUGCAGCGUGCAUCCCAAUAAAAUCAGUAUUUGUUGUCAACUAAGCAAUUUGUUUGGUACAAUUGUGAUUUUAGGCCGUAAUUCGGUUCUGCUUUCUUGUACUUCAACCUAUAUAAUGAUUCAUCUGUGGGUUUUGUCAGGAGUCAUCUUUGCACUAUUGCGGGUUAUCAUGACAGGACUAUAUUUUCAGUUCAUUGGUCAAGGUAAUGCUAUCGAACCAAAAGAAGUACUCCUAAAUUUUCUGGCUUUACAAUAUAUGAGAUAGAUUAUAUUCUCUAGAUUUACUAAUGAAUAAAUUGUCAGAUUCACUUUACUGAAGAUCUUUCUUCAAUGUAAGAUAAUAUUGUAAGCUAGGAAAAUUUAAGGUAAACAUAACCACUUUCUGAUAUCUGGAUUUUGUUUUGGUGAAAAAUUACAGGGACAAUAUCAUUGCCAGUGGAGCUGCUGAUGAUGCCAUAAGAUUUUUUGUGGAGAAUAAUGAGAGCGAUAGUUUGGUAUGUCAUAAUCUUUGAUUGUUUCAUUUGUUGUAUUAGCAUUUGUUCCAGCAGUGGAGUGGCCUAGUUUCUGUAUUGGUUCUGAAUGUAAAUUUCUUCAAAAAAAGAACUGGCAAGCUGAUUGAAGGGUUAAAAAUAAUCUGACUGUUGUUUUCAUUUCAGGUCAAUGGACCUUCCUAUAACUUGCUUCUCAAGAAGGAGAAAGCCCACGACAUGGAUAUAAAUUCAGUGCAGUGGUGCCCUGGGGUAAAUUUUCUCUCUACAGUUUAUCGUUAGUUCUGUGAGGUUCCGUUUUUUUCCCCUGUGAAUUCAGGGCCCGGACUCGUGAUUUUUAAUGAUGUUCAAGAUUCCAUUUUUCUUGUUUCCACAGUGAUGGGAAACAUAGUCCCUUGAGAACUAAGUUCUGUAACUCUAAUUGCAUGGGAAACAUAGUCCCUUGAGAACUAAGUUCUGUUACUCUAACUGCUACCUUGCUGCCACUGCUACCACCCCUAUCAUAUCUACAACACUGCAAACAUGGACUGCAUGACUCUCAUUAAGGGCAACCAUUAGUUUUUCCACCACACGAAGUACCUACUCAGCUUCUAAGUAGUAUUGCCCUUAGAUGCACAUACAUGGUUGCAUACAGUUACUUGCAGCAGCUCAAACUACAAUUUCCCUUUUGAUUGUGCUUUUUUGGAUUACUUAGUUCUCAGCGUAUUCUUUUUACAGCAAAAUGUAUUCAGUAGUCAUGCAUGUUUGGGAGAAUCUAUUUUAGUUUUUAAUUAGUUAAGAGCAGCUUAUCUUCAAUACUAACAUUUUUCUCAUAUUGCUGUUGAAUUUGACAGGAGAAUAGGCUUCUUGCUUCUGCAGCUGAUGACGGGACGAUCAAAAUAUGGGAGCUGACAUCUGUUAGCUGCUGAAACAACUGUAUCAUAUGUAUGUCAGUUGUUAGUGAAGUCUCUUGUGAAGUGGAUACAAUGAAUGUUUAUGAGAAUGAAAGUGGUGAAGAUUGAAGCUUAUAGUGCAAUUUAUAGAGAGACGGCAUCUUCUGCAGCCAAUAACGGGACAGUUAAAUCUGAGAGAUGACAUCUGUAUGCUGCAGGAAGAACCUCUUCGCUUUUUGUAGCAAAAAUUAAGCAUGAUUAUAAAGGAAUCAUCAUGUGUAUGUCUUAGUUAUUAGAUGUAGUGUUAUCUUUUUGGGAAUAAAGAUAGUGUUACUUCUUCCUCUUGGUUAUUAGGAUUGAUAAUUUAUAGAUUUGCUAACAAGAAUGCUCAGAGAUCAACUUAUAUAGUUUGUCUUCGAAAAUUGAGCAGUAUGGUUUAUAUUCGGAUCACCAUAUAGCUAAUGAUGGGAAAAUUUUGACAGUACAUGAAGUUUCUUCUACUGAUAAUUAAGCUUACUCAACUUUACAAAACAUCACAAUAGUACCCGAAGUUUAAAAUCCGACUCAAGAUAUAUACCGUCAGUUUGACCGUUAAUCUGUUUCAUUCCGUCAAGUUUAUAAGGGCAAAUUCGUCUCUUCGUAAUGAUAACGAAAAAAUAAAACAGAAAAUAAAAAUAAAACAAUAAAAUAGAGAUAAGGGCCAAUCUCGUGGCUUCUUUGUUCCUCUGCGACCAAAACCUUUAUCAUCUUCUCCGAACACCAACAGAUUGAAAACCCAUCACAUAGAGAUUCCAACUUUAUCACUUGUUCUCUGGCUCAAUAAAUGGCAUGGUUCUUCUUCUCUGGCAGUUGGAGCACUUUCUGAAAAUGAGCCAUUAGGCCUAAUGGAGACCGGAGAGGUACAUAUUAGGAUUUAGAAAUGAAUAUAAUUGAAACAGAGAAGCAGACAUGCUGUAUAUGAAAACACCUAUUGGAGUUGGGUUCUCUUAUUCAACUGUUACAUCAUCUUAUGAGUAUAUAAAUGACCAUAUCAGAGUCAGGGACAAUUCGAUGUUCUUCCAAAAGAGGUUGGACAAAUUCCCUCAAUAUAGAAACAGAAGCUUUAUUAUUAUUGAAAGCUAUGCUGGACAUUGUGCUCCCCAGCUAGCAGGACUCAUGCUCCAAUUCAGCAAGGAGUGCCAUUUCAAUUUAAAGGGAAUUGCUUUGGUUAAUCACGUCCUAGAAUAUGCUACUGCUUCAAUUCAAGGUCCAAGUUCUUUUAGUCAUAUGGAUUGAUAUCAGAUUCAACAUAGAGAAUGGAUUUCCAUGAUCUCAAAUUGUCCAUCAAUAAAGAACCAAAGUUGACUAGUCAAGCUAUAUAUGGAUUUCCUAAUAAUCUCAAACAAUACAAAUACUAUUAAUCAGAAAUUUACCAAAUCCACAGACUCAGUCGAUUUGGUCCCCGCUCGGAUCCAUCGCCUGCCUCGGUGCCUCCACAAUUGGGUCUCAAUGCCCUCGAGUGCUCUGUGCUCCACCAUUUGGAUCUCCAGCAUUCUCACCAGAUCUGCCCCCGCCGUCACCAUCUUUGAUUUUGGUAGAGUGGUAGAGAGAGAGCUGAUUGUUUAUAGACGCCGGUGUAGAGACAAGUUUACCCUUAAAAAUAUGUCAACUGCAAUGCUAGGCAUGUAUAAUAUUUAGACCGUGUUUGUUAGUUUAGGUACCAAUAUGUUAUUUGUCAAAAUUGAGAGACCUCAUAAGUAUAAACUGUGGAGAUAAAGAUAGAAAGAGAAUCGAGAGACUUAUUCAUUGAUUAGAACCCUUUAUAUAGUGAAUUACAAAAUAUCAAUAUGGUAAUAAUAAAGAAUAUAUAAUCAUAUUCUAAUUACAUAUCCUGAUGGCAUAAGGCCAAGACACACAUAUGGAAUAUCCUAUAACACUCCCCCUUGUGCCGCGCGCCGGUAUGCCGGUGGUGCUGAUAUGUCGUCUCGUUAAAAACCUCAUCAAGGAAAAAAAAACCCUAUGGGAGAAAAACUAAACCUUGAUCAUAGGAGAAAAAGAGUACAACACACCCUUCACAUUUGAUAGAUAUGUAUGUGCUAGACUCCCCCUGAAGUUCGCACCUCCCCCUAAUCUUUAAUCAAGAGAAAAAGCCCUAAUGCACAAAAUAGAAAAAGUCAAACUCUAUUUCAAUGAUAAUCUUUUUUAUUAGCCCAUUUGAAUACAAGGUACUUAUUUUAAGCCCAAAUACACAAAUCUUUAUUAAAAUAUAAUAAAAUUAUAUUUUUAAAGACUUUUUUACCCUUACCUUUUACUUAAAGAGAAAUAAUAAAAAAGAUGGAGGGAAGACUUUGCCGGAAGCACACCGGGCUCCGACGCCAGUCACCGGCGGCCGCAUUCCGGUCGCCGGACUCCGAACUCCGGCCGCCGAAAUCCGGUCACAGGUGACCGGAAUUUUCCGAUUGCCGAAAAAUUGCCGACAUCCGGUGGCCGGAAUUUUACUACCCCUAGUAAACUUCUGCUGGAAGUAGUAAUCUUUUACUGGGGGUAGUAAACUUGCAAAACAGUAGCUCCAAUGGCAUAAUUCAUAUUGAAAAGGAGAAAAAUCAACUUAGAUGCGAAAAAANNNNNNNNNNNNNNNNNNNNNNNNNNNNNNNNNNNNNNNNNNNNNNNNNNNNNNNNNNNNNNNNNNNNNNNNNNNNNNNNNNNNNNNNNNNNNNNNNGAGAGAGAGAGAGAGAUUAUCGAAAAGGAAAGAAGAGAGAGAGAGAAACGAUCUGAUGGAAAAGGAGAGGAGAAGAGAGAGAAUGAAUAUAAGGGUAUAAAUGUAUUUUACCAAGUAACAGUUGGAAUGGGCAAUAGAAUCUUAUUUUCAUUGAACCGGGCCAAAACUUCUUAAAAUUAGUACUAAAGUGUCAUUUACUCUUUAAUCAAUCAUAGGGAUCUUCUUAAUUCUUAUUAAUCACAAAAAUUUUAAUAAUUUAGCAUGUCAAUGCUCUUUAACAUGUCUUCAAAUGUGGCAUCGGGCAAUGAUUAACUAGAUCAUGUCGGAUUGUCCUCAAACAUGAUCUUUUACACUUAGAUCUUGAGGAGAAGGCCGCCUGUGAACUCAAAACAUAAGUUCAUGCAGGAAAUCAGAUUUCCGCGCAGCAUGACUUUUAGUUAGUUACUAGAAUAGCGGUAACUUCCUCUAGAAAAUACAUAUGAACGAACCGUAAACGGUUUUGGAAACUAGACUCAUUUAGCUUUCCAACCGUAUAUUACACACAUUCUGGUUCAUCGGGAGUUGUUCACAAAGUCCAGUCAAAGUUGACUGUUUUGGCAAAAUUAGAUUCUCAGACAGAUUCAUCAUACUUUACGAAAAUGGCCAUAACUCACUAAAUGAUAGGUAUGAUUAAAUGGUUGAUGUCCCUGGAAAGUAGACACAUAGAUCUUUCCAAUGGUACCAAUUUCACCAUUUUUAGUGAGUGAGAUUUCCUGUAGAUCUCGUGGAAGUUGACAUACGAAACUUGGCAGAUUCUGAUUUCGUUUUUAAUGUGUCUUUCUAUUGUCUUAGCCUUUCAUACCAUUAAGUAUUGAAAAACGAGUUACUGCCAUUACAUUAGCGUUGCGAGGGCGCAUAGCUACACUUUGCUUUACAACUUUUCAUAGCGAAUGAGAUGUCAAGUCUUUCGUAUUGUGUUGAGUACAAUGAUGCGUCUUAUUGUACUUAGAUGGGAUCUCCAUCUCUUAACACAUAUUUGUCAUCUUGCUUUAGACAAAACAAUGGAUCUCUCUUUAGAGCAAAGACUUUGACUAAUCAUGGGAGUAUAUGUAGGCCUCACUAGUUAUAGAGUGCCUAAGCCGAUUGAUGGAAAAUCAUCAUCAAUACAGUCAUCGAGUGCCUUAUCGAGACCGUGUCUUCCCAAGAUUUUUUCAUUCUAACUUCGGAUGUUGAUACAUAUUGGCAUCUCUUGAUCCAUCAAGAGUCCAUGUAAAUCCGGAAUGAACACGCAAAUGCAUAAUUCACCAUAACCCUUUCAAAUCAAGUAGAGUUCGUGUGCGUUUCAAUACCUUUAGCAAACGUGUGCUCCUGUGGUCUGGAGCCACUUGAUUCGGACGAAUGAAGUCCGUUUAAGACCUUCAUGUAUAUCUCUGAUCUCAUAGAGAUGUUAUUAUGACCACAUUCAUAGGCUGCAUGUUCAGUCAUUCAGAAACUACCAAACUGACAAAGUAGUGGAGUGCAAUGACAUCCAUUACGAGAGUAUAUCUCAUUGUAGUCGACCCUAGUACGUGUAAGUGAGAGACCUUGCACCAUAAGAUGAGUCUAAGCUCUUGUUCUCACUACGCUAUCUAACAAAGACAUAGUUGAUAGGGUUUAACUUGCGAUGUCGGCAUCACCUGCCCAAGGACCUAUCUCUUUAUUAAUGCUGGAUCACAUCUUCCUAUUAGGCCAAUCAACUAAAUUGAUAUCCAUCAACGAAUGGUAGUUCGAUAGUAGACUCGUUAUCCCACGUCCUCAUGUACACUAAUACUUGUAGAGAUCUUUAUAUGGAUUUGAUUUGACAUUGAGGCGUCCCCCAACGAUAAUCACAAUUCAGACUUCAUGAGAUGGAUUUGAGUAUCACUGAUCAAUGGAUCAGGUUGUGCCAAUCUCGCUUCUUCCUAGUGCGAGAAAGUAUCGAACCUAAGGGCCUCCCUCCUUUUGGGGAGCCACAUGGCCUUGUGACACCAAUUUUGCCACUAUAUGGCGUCACCAUAUCACCAUCCAUAGUGAUGGCGUCAAGACCAACUCCUUUUGGUAGCGUCAUGUCCUCUUGAUAGGACAUCAAUCCUUGCAGACAUAUUUGUUGUCACAUCCCGACCCUUAAAUUUUUACCUUAUUUACUAGCUUGGUAUUAAUAAGAAUUUUACCGUCUCCGUCAAUGAAUUUAUAGUUUAUUUGGUCCCUAGAGGGGUUUUGAGGGACGAUUAUUUCGGAGGAACUAUUCGUAAGAGAAAAUGGUGACGACGUUAAAAAUAGUAAUUUUAGCUAGUAAAAUGUAAUUUUUAUUAGGGUAUUAUUUUUAGGGUGUAUUAUGUUUUGGAGUGGGGUGUUAUGUAUGUGGACCGGGCCAUUUUUGGGUCAAAAGCCCAAAAGACUUAAGUUUAUUUUUCUUCUCUUCCUUCUCUUUCUCCCAGUACUCUCUCCUGAGCUCUCUCUCCCUCCGUCAGAAGUCCAGUGCUUGCCGCCGUCGUCCGGCCGAGCAAGGCUGCCGCACCGGUCCCGUCUGGACCGGCGUCUCCUCCUCUCUCACCCUAGGCCGGUGAGCACUGCCACAGCGCCGCUGAACGAGAGGAAACUCAUCCCAAAGGGCUGACUGUUUUCUCGCCGGAGCUCCCUCCUCCGGCCGCCAUAGCCGGCGAUUCUUGGCUCGUUUUGAAGCUCUCCUCCCGUGCAUCAAUCCCUCCAAAGGUGUCUCUCCCUCUUAAGCUAGGUAAUGAGAUAUUUGGUGUUGAAGCUCUAAGGUUUUCUAGAAUGUUUUCUUUCGAUUGACCUAGUUAGGCUUGGAAUUAGGUGUUGUGCUAGUUAAAGAAGUUGUAGAGUGAGUUGAGAGGAAGUUGCUGUUAAAAUUUGGUAGGCAUAAGAGGUUGCCGGAGUCGGCCUCCGGCCACCGCUGUUUGGGGGAUUUUUAGGGUUUUAUUCGUGUUAUAAUUAGAGGAGUUUAAUGAAGUGAUUUGUGGAAUUUUUGGAGGAGUUUUGGAUAGGCUUGGGAAUUUUUAAAGUUUGGUAAUUUUGGCGGUUAUUUAAGGUAGAAUCCGGCCGUUGAUUUAAAGUCGUAUAAUCUGUAGAGGGUUAUAUUAAGGCUACCGGUAUGUUCGGUGAAUGUUCGGUGAAGUUUGGGCCAUAUUGAGUUAAGAAUGACGAAGUUGGGCAAUGAUGAGUGUGUUGAAGGCUCACGUUUAAUUUUACCCAUUUUGUAUAAUUAUUGGAUUUUUAAUUGGGAAAUUGAUUAUAUAUUUGGAACAGGACGUGAGGAGGCUCGAGCGGAAGAGGCCUCGGAUCGACAUCAGGCUUAGGCCUAAUUUGUGAGAGGACUUUUGUUUUAAAUAAUAUGCAUGCUAUGGUUCAUGGAUGAACAAUAAAUGGGAUUUUCGGUGAAUAUAAAUAUGUAUUUAUGAGGAGAGUAAGUAUAUAAAUGCUAGCUAGCCAUAUGUGUAUGUCCACCUUAAUGGCAUAGCAUAUAGCCGCAUUAUGGUGUGACGUGAGCGUUGGACGUGAGCGUAGUAGCCCUAUAUGAGUGUUUAAUUCUUAUAGGGGGUAUGGGCACAUAUUUAUACACCCGUCUGUCCACCUUAAUGGCGUAGUGUAUCACCGCAUUAAGGCGUGACGUGAGCUUUGGACGCGAGCGUAGUAGCCUUAUAUAAUUUCAUAAAAUUAUAUAGGGAGUAUGAACGUGUGUAAAUACAUUCAUAUAUAUAUAUAUGUAUAUAUAUUUUAGAGCUUGAGAAGCUCGAUAUUUAAGAGAUGAAAGUUUUAUCACUGGAGGCAUGCAUUCGAUUUUUUCCUUAGAAAUUGAAUUGGGAAAACAUAAAUAUUUUAUUUAUUCUUUUAGUCAAAUUUAUUUUUGUCCACUCACUCUAACGUUAUUAAAUGUUUUCCCCUGGGCCCUUCGUUUUAAAAUGCCAAGUCUGCAGAGUUCGGGUUGGCACUAGUAGGAGGCGAGGCGUAGUUACCCACUUUUCCACCACUUUUCACCAGUAGGUUGCAUGCUUAACCUACCAGUGUAUUUUCUUGCUUCCGCUAAUAUUAGUAGCUCUGAUUACCCUUGAGGAUAAUGUAUAUUAGCUCGGUUGUGUGCUAAGUCUUGGAUUUUUAAUUUGGAAUAUUUGAAUGUUGAAGUUUGUUAUUUUUCUAAUUGGAUAUUUAUGUGAUGGAUUAGAAGAUGGUUUUAUUGUAUUGUUGUGGUGGUUGUAUUGUGGGGAGCGGGUGGCUCCAGGGGUUGAGGUUGGACGUGUCGUUAUAGGAGUGUGGUUUGAAUUUUUUUUUCAGGUUAGGGUUGUCCAUUUUCAAGGGAGCUUAUGCCGAAUUUUUCGGUAAAUUUUCCUUGGAGGUGGUCCCCGCAAGACUUACUUUGGGUUUUAGGGUGAAAUUCAGGGUGGGUCUUAACAUUUGCAGCAUGUGAUCUCGUCACUUUAACACUUUAAGCAUUUGAGACCAAGAUGAGACUUAGUGGGGAUAAACCACGACAAUUCACGUCAUUUCACUUAAACACUUGUGUUCUUAUCUCCCCUUAACGGUGGGAAUAUUGUCUCAUCAAAGUGACAAUCUGCAAUUUAGCAGUGAAUGAGAUCGCCUGACAAGGUUUCUACAUAGGCGGAUUAUAGGUGGAGGUUUAUAUCCAACCUAAACUUAUUCAUCUCAAAUGACCCAUUAUUGUGCGCAGUGACAUUACGAUUUGACACCUAGAAAUAACAUCUAACUGAGCUCAAAGAUUGGAGAUCCGUUUUAAUCCUAUUUGAGCUCAAGGAUUGCAAUUUCGUGUCAAUCCUCGUACACAGUCACGAGCUGUAGUACAAAAAUAUUCAAUGAUGUUGGGUCGUAGAUGAAUAGUAAAGAUGAAUGCAAAUAUUGCAUAGUCCUAAGACGCAAUAAAAAGAUUGGUGUGCAUCAAUAAUGUUCAAGCGACAAGCUAAAGUUGUUUGGUCGUAGCCUCGGUGAGACCGUAUUGCGUGUGAACAUAGGGUACAAGACACUUCAACUUAUAUUCCGAUAAACUUCUUUAAAGAAUGUGUAGUGAGCCCGUAGAAAUUAAGCAUCAUAAGCAGUAGAUAAUAGUGUAACACGUGACCGGUGUGUUAACACUUCAACCAACACCAUAAAACAUAAAAAGGUGUCCGCAAGUUGGUUGUAUCUAUCUACAUAAUUUGAUGUAAGAAGGAAUUCCUUCUCUUUUGUGUUAUUUAGCAUAGGAGGGUCUCGCUCCUAAUUUAGCUAUUAAAUAGGCUUUCAAAACGAGAAAUAUGCAUUACAGAGGGUCAAUGAGACAUUGAGGGAAGACCGGUGCACCUCAAUUGCUUGAGGAAUUGACCGGACAGCCUCUGGGAAGUUGGAGCCGUGUUCGGGUGACGUCAAUGUCCCUAGGGUGCCGCUAUUUACAACCAUAGUGUCACCAUCAUGCUUCAUGGAGAAGCUAGAUCUCAAAUGUCUUCGUUUUGAGCGGAAUAAUGGAUGUCCAUGAGAAUUUCUCAAAAUUUGGACCAUUAUAUCUCUUCUAAGAUGACCGAUUUGGUCAAACCAAAGCCUAUAUGAGUCGGUGUCCCAAAUAUCAUGUUUGGCGACAACAUGUGAUUCGAUAUUCGAAUCAUAGUGACAUACAGCCCACUAGAUUGACUCAUAAACUUCUCUAAGAUGCAUUUUAGUCCACAUUCAUGAGAAGGUAUAUACAAAAGAACUCUUGUUCAUUCUUACAAUGUGUUUUCUCACAAUGUGCUUCUAAAUGAAAACUAUUAACAGGAAUGUCUUUAAAGCACAACAUGGUUCUGUUGCCUCUCAAUACAUAGAGGGCACAUCUAUGACGUUGAUCAUGGUGUCAUAAGGCAUCAAGAUGCAAGCUAAACCGCAUCUCUAAAUGACUGGUAUGAUUCAAUUAUUGUAGUCACGUACAGAAGAUUUACAAGGCACAAAAUCCAGAGAUAGUUGCCAGUUCCUUAGAAUGUUGUGGAUAGUUCAACUAUCUACGAAACACUCAAUGUCUCUAUGAGAUAGAUCUACAAAAUAAAGAAGAUAAGAGAGUAAAUAGUUUCACUUGAACCAUUUAGAGGGAUUAAAAGAAGCUACGAAAAGCUGCAAUUCCGAGAGACAUAAAAAUUCUGAGCAGAAUGACUUUUGCGCACUAAAACAGCCAUAACUUCUUCGUUAAAAUAGAUAUUGACAAACCACAAAAAGUUCUGAAAACUAGACUCGUAGAGCUUUCGAAUGAUAUAAAGUUUACUGUCUGGUUCGUCCGGAGCUAUUUACAAAGCUCAAACGAAGUUGACUAUCUAAAAGAGACAGAUUACUGUUUUUCGCAGAUUUGGCAUUGGCAAAGUUUUGAAGCUUGCAGAUGGCAUGUUGGCAUAAGCCGAAGCCAAAAUUACGUGUAUACGAUCAAAAUCAAGUCCUUUUAGUCUUUCCAAGCUAGGUUGUAAACUCUAUGACUAGUUAGAGAAAACUAACUCAGAGGACCUAGAAGAUUCGAUCAUGAUGAUGAUUGUCCGGUUUUGAUAAUUAAGUCUUCAACAUCUUUUACAAGACGACAAUUGGUUUAAUAGCGUAGGGGGAUCCAAAAUUAAAAGCUUUCGGUAACUCCAAGUCAGUAUGACCAGUCAUGUUCGUGGAGGAUCGGUAGUGCGAGGCACACUUGAAACCACUAUCUCCUUAAUUUCAGACAAUUCUGAGACAUCACAUUGAGCUUGGAUGAGCCUAGUUGAACAGUUGAUGAUGGAAAAAUCCGCUAUAGGGUAGAAGACUUAACCGGAAACACGUUAGCGAUCCUCCUUAAGGAUGCAAGGCCGUGCGUCAUCUUCACUUGGAAGAGACCAAAACGGCACAAUCUAACCAUGUAGAUUGUAAAUAUGCCAUGCUUCUAAGAAUGAUGUAAAAAUGUAUAUCUUGUUUGUAAAUCAAUACGAACUAUAAGAGGAGAAUAGUUUCAUAACUUCGAAAAAAAUCUCAAGACAUUCAUUAUUGCUAAUGUGAGUAUAUAUCAAGGUCUCGAAUAAACAAAAAACAUCGAUACGAUAUAUUAUUACGUAUAGCUUGGAAAGAAAAUCAAUGUCUAGCUAAUGACAUCAAAGUCAAGGGUAGCUAGAGCUGGAUCCGAAUCUUUGAAAUCCGCGAUCAUGAGAAUGAUGUUAUUGUCCUCAUAUUGAUUUUCCGUAUAUUUUUUGUAUGCAUUCACAAUUUGAGGAUGAGCUUGACAACUCCUCAACCAGUGAUCUGGAGAUCCACACGGUUGCAUUGUUCGGAGCUGGCAUGAGUAGUUUUGACAAAUUGAUGUCUAGACCGGGAUUGUUCAUCACUAAAAUGACACAGUGCGUGGUUUGCACAUAGGGGCUCAUCAUGAAAUUUAAUAUCUGCAAAGUUAAAACAAUAUCAACAGAGCUAGACGGUUUCUAAUAUGUCUUACCUUAUUUAGUUAUAUGAUCAAAUUCAUAAACUAAGCAAUAGCUAAACAACAUAAGAAAAUUGACAUUAAAACAUUGAAAAAUCUCAUUGCGUAUCUAGCCAUACACAUUAAUAUCUUUGUGUAGUGAUACGUCUCAUAUAAGCUCUACAAGAGCUCUAAGUAAUUUAUAAUUUCAAAAGUUAGAAUAUGUAGCAAUAUAAUGAUCAUAAUUCAAAUUAGAUUUUGUAGUCCGAUCAUAGUACUCAUUGAGGCAAUUUCUAUCACGUUAGCUAUAACAGAAUGAGUAUAUAUGAGCUAACGUUAGACUAUUUGAUUCCAUGAAUUAGCUUCAGGCUCUCUCAUGUAUUCAUGGAUCGAAUUACAUUAGAAUCAUUCAUGUACUUGAAUCCUUUAAAGAUCUAACAAGCGAUACGCUUGUAAUGACACCUCAUUUUUAGGAAUUUUUUUUAGCAACGUGUCUUUUAUGAUCCUCAUAAUAUACAAUGACAAAUGUCGUAAAUCUCUCGUCAAUAACAACUAUAUCUAUUAUGUAACAUUGUAUUUAUAGAAAACUAUCACCUAUAAGGAAAAAUAUUCAUAAUCCCCAUGUCUCUUGUAGACAUUAUAUCAUAGUGAUUUAUUUUCACUAUGAUCAAUACUCUUUUGUAUCAUGUAGGGCUAAAGGUCAAAGUAUUUCAUCAUGUUUCAAAUAUUUAGUUUCAUUGGAAUUACCUCUUUUCAAUUUGACCAAUAUUAUGCUUUGUCGACGUGCAUAAUAUGCUUUGUGGCAUAGCAUCGAUUAAUACAGUCCAUAAUAGUCUUUGGUAGCUACCAUUGUAAACUUUGAUAGAUGAUCAUUAUUCAUAGAUCCAACACAUUCUUAUACGCUUGCGUUUGAUUUUUGGGUAUUCAUGCCACUUCUGGGGAAAAUAUUGUCACUUCAAGGACAUAUAUCUAGCGAAUGUGGAUCUUUUACUUGUAAUAUCACAUAGAGCAUUAUAGGACAUGUAUAAUCUUUCUUUUUCAGGAGCUUAAAACUUUAGACUUGGUGGAUACAUUUCACGUAAAUUCACGCCGUUAUUCAAAUGACUCCCUAAUGGCGGGAAGACUGUCGUUAUGACCAUCCACAAAUAUGCAUUUAAAGCUCUAUCACUUUCUUUCGAGUGAGAUGUUUAUUGGCUGGUGGCGAACCUAAUUAAACCAAGUAUGAGGUCAAAAAUAUUAUAUUCAUUAGUAUCAACCAAGAUAUCAUUCUCUAAUGGCGUACCUAGCUACAACCUUUGAAUGUAUAGCCGUAUUAGGAACUCUAACAUUGUACCAUGACAUUCUUUUCAGGAUAACUAUGUCACUUGGAUACACAUGCAUCCCACAAAUCAAAUGGGGUAUAGACUAUUUGAGUUAAUAUGGAUGAUCUCAUAGACUUUGAUCCAAGCAGAAAACAGUGCAUCUAGCAUAUAUAUACUUUUCUCACAAUCUUUUAUCAAAUCACUAAUUGAUGAUACAUUUCUUAAAAUCAAAAUGAGAUGGUGGUUAAACAACCCACACCAAUGUACAUCGUUCAUUCAGGAAAAAUCUCUCUCCCCGUCAUGACGGGAGGAGUGUCUCAUAAGGUGGCCACGUAAUUGCAAAGAGUAUACUCAUACUCGUGCAUCAUAAAUUUAGACCAAUAGUUAGAUAUCUCUUAUCUAUAAUAUGACUCCCCCUCAAAACUCCGGGUUUGAGGUUGGCAACAUUAAAACUUCAAGAUAAAUUAUCCAAAUAUAUUCACUCGAAACUUAAGCCUUGAGUUUGCACAGUUAGAACUCCAAGUUCUAAGGUGGAGUGAACAUCUAGGUUACACUAAUUUGUAUUUUAUACUCGAAGCUUCGAGUUCGAAUUUUUACUAUUAGAACUUCAGGUUCUACAAUACAAUAUUUUGAACUUAUGGUUCAAGAACAUGACAUUUGAAAUUCAUUUAUUCAAUAUAUAGGGCUGUUAGCCCAUAUGAAUAACAAUAAAAUUUUCACAAUAACACUAGUGGAAAAAAUCACUUAGCCGACGGAACAAUAAUAUUUUCGUCGCCUAAGAUCUACUUAGCCGACGGAAAACCUUCCGUAGCCUAAGUUUUCAGCUAGCCAAUGGAAAAAUAUUCCGUCGGCUAAGAAGAUCUUAGGCGACGGAAAUUUUUACCUAGCCGACGGAACAUUUAUAUAUAAAUAUAAAUGAUUAUUUAUGAUAACUUAGGCGACGAAAAAUUAUUCUGUCGCUUAGGUUAUAUCUUAGUUGACAGAAAUAUCUACUUAGUCGACAUAACCAAAUUAAAAAAAGAAUUAAAAAUUUUUGGCGGGAUAACUGCCGCUUAAAUAUUUUGAAUUUAGGCGACNNNNNNNNNNNNNNNNNNNNGGCGGCAACUCCUCCUACUCCUCUUCUCGCGGCAUCUCCUCCUCCUCCUCCUCCAAGCAGCGUCUCCUCCUCCUCCUCCUCCUCCUCCUCGCAGGGUGGUUGACGUCCGGACGGUUACUCUCCGCGGUAUAAGUAAGGCAGUAGAUCGUCGUACGUGCGGUUCCUUGACGGUAGAAUCCCGGUGAGUUUAGCGUCGGAGGUGGAGUGGAGUUGUUCGGGAACACGCAAACAUAACCGUCGUAGUCGCCGGAGAAGAGGAAGAGAAAGGAAAAAAAAAAAAGACCUAAAAAAACGAAAAAAAAACUGCCAGUUAUUCUAAAAAAAAAAAUUUUAAUUUUUUACUUCCGUCGACUAAAAUCUUGGCAGACAGAAAUAUUUAGUCGACUAAGUUCCACUUAGCCGACGGAAUUGAUGAUUCUGUCGGCUAUUGUCUUAGCAGACGGCGCUUAGCAGACGAAAAUUCCGUCGGCUAAGAUUUUUGCAGACGAAAUAUAUGUCUUAACCGACAGAACGGUCCGGUCGGCUAAUAGCCAUAAUCCAGUGGUGUAAGAACAGUAAUGAAAUUGCAUAACAAAAUAAGAAAACUGUAGAGAGAGAAAAUAAAUAAAUUUUACAUUGAAAACUUCUGGUUCUAUGAAUGAAGAAAAUAUACAGAGCUUUUGGUCUGAUUAACUUCACAUAUAUGAUGAUCUUGUUUAUUUCAUCUAAUUGUAUGUACGAGAACAUAACAUCGUAAUAAAGUGAGGAGCUUCAUCCCCCUAUAUGAUUAGGGAUCACAAGAUGUGGUUUCAAUGAAUAUUUCAUAACUAUAAGGAACUUGUGGCCCCUAUUAACUGCAUAAGUUUUGCGAAACAUCAUAUCACAAUUUCGAUUAUAUUACUGAUGAAGAACUUCAAGCCCUCUAUAUUUCAAUCAAGAGACUUCAGGCUCGAUCUAAUUCAUAACUGAAUUCAAAUGACAGAUAAACUACAAGAUAUAAUCGAUGUGCAAAUAUAGAUCAUAUUCCACAAUGCAAAGGAAUUAACACAUAAACAUGAUUUCCAACAUAUAUAUCUGGCAAACAAUAACAAACAUGUGGACUAACAAAAUCAAAAUAUAUUGAAGCCAUAAAUUUGCAAUGAGUUUCAAAGUAAAAGGGUUAGAUAAGAGUACAUAUAUAUCAAGAGAAGAAUGAUCAGAUUAAUCAUUCUACGAUUUGAGAAUAUCAAUUUAAUAAGCCAAACAAUUAAUAAAAGAUUAAUAAAAAGAAACUCAUAUAUCAAGAGUUUAUGGCCAAGCAACAAAGUCACCCCAUAUGACUCAUAGAUCAUCAUAGAGUACAACAAAAGAAAAUUGUGCGAUGGUGCAAAGGUGAACGACAAAGAAACAAUUUUGGAUUUUCUAAGGUUGAUCAUUAUCAACUCAAAGGUAGAAGACACAUAGAGAACAGUUGGGAGAAUGUAAAAGUGUUCUCAUUCAUUCUGAUUAGCCUCCUUAUAUAGAUAUAGGGUUUACAUCACAAUACAUAACAAAUGAGUAAUUACGUGGACAACCAUAUAAAUUAUAAUAUUUAUAACAUCACCCUCAUUACUAAUAUAAUGAUAAUAACAAAAUCCAAUCCACAAAUAUAUUGUUUUUCAGUAUCAAUAAAUCAUCAAAAAGUGAUUAAUUUGUAUAUCAUAACAAUCAAAGCCAGUAUGAAGGAGAUUAAGCAAGAAUAAUAUUUAUUCGAAUCAUCAACACCUGUUUUCUAUUCUUAAUCUGCUUGAAGUUCCUCUCCUUCCUUCUUCAACCAAAGCACUACGAGCUGACAUAAUCCCAGUAGGAAACAAAGUAUCAUCAAAAGUAGUACAAUCAACCCAGUCCUUGAGAAACUCCUCCUGGCCCCAAAUAUCCGGAAUCCAGACCCGACCCGCCACCUCAAUCCGGUGCCUCUUCAACCUCUCACGUCCACUUUCUUCUGCUACUGCCAACACCUCAUAACACCCUCUACUGGGUUCUUCUGCUGCACUCACUUGAGAUGAAGCCACACCUAAUAUUGUGAUCUCCUCAUUUCUUGACUGACCUAACUUGAUCUCAUCUUCAUGAUCUUGAUCGAUCUCUUGCUCGGUAGUAGUAGUACCAUUCUGAUACUGAGGGAUGAUGCUUUCUUUGGUCUGAAGCAAUGGAAAAGAAGGGCUAGUUUGGUCGUUGGGAACCAAAGAAAGUUGAAGCUGGUGAGCCAUUUUCAGUAGGGCUGGCUUUUCUAUCAUGCAACAGACAACAGUACGUGGUGGGAAUGGAGGCUUUUCUUUGCUGCUACUGCUACCAGCUGAUUCAGCUUCUUCUUCUUAUUGUGCUUGUUUGCUCAGCUCAAUCUUUUUGGUAUGUCUGUGUUGUCUCUAGUUUGAAGAAGGGUUCAUGGAGAUAUAAGGUAGGGGGAGGGAGGGAGGAAGGUGAGGGUUCUAAUCGCUUUGUGUGUGUUAAUAAUGCAAAGCAAGAAUGGGUGGGGGCUUAGUUUACACGUCCACCUUUCAAGCCUUUUUUGUAUGGUAAGUGACAAAUGUACGUGUCUUGGUUCAGAUUUCAGUCCAAUUUGUGUGGCUCUUUACUUCUUGAUUGGAAACACACAGAAAAGCAAUAGAAAACGAGAGCCAGGCUUACUAUGUGUAUAUAUAUUCUAAUUUUAACACACAGAAUAUAUAUAAAUCGAUGGGUGCUGAUAUAUGUUGAAUCGACUUUUUCUUAUUGUUGAUCUUGUGUUUAUAUACUGUAUUACAGCAUUUUAAAAUUUGUUAAGUUUUUUUUUUCCUGUUAUUUAUGGAAAAUAUAUUUUAGAGUUAUUGUGUGGGAACUCAAGAUUUUCUUAGUUUUGGAUUGUCAUUUUUUUCUUAGACUUUAGGGUUUUAGUUUUUUUGGAGCGUCAGUUACAGUUAGUAGUCGUUUAGACUUUAGCAUCGAUCAUGUAAAAUGAUGAGAGAGCUUCGUAUUCGCUCGAUCAUGAGUUCAUGAGUGAAGUUGUAUGAAUUUUAUACUAUAUUCAUCUUCCUUCGCCCUACAAAAACAUUCAAUUACUAAAUCAACAAUCAUCAUAGAUAUAAACAGAUUCUUUUCUUAAUUACAGACCAAAAAGAAAAAAGAAAAAAGAAAAAUAAACAGAUUAUUUCUUCAGUUUCUGGGAUUUUGAAGGAUUGUGAGGUUGAUUUUGAUUUGGUUCAGCGUUUGGCCACUAGAAUUGUGGUAUUUUAUUUGGGGGAAUAAUAUAUUCAUGAAAAUUUGAACACAGUUUGGUUGUAUUCAAUACAAUGUGGUUUUUGGAUGGAGACUUUCUGGGGUUAACAAAAAGAUAUUUUAUGAUGUUCAUCAUGGCCACUAGCAGCUAGCCCAUGGUUUUCAAUUUCCCUCUCAUUGAAAUUUAUGUCGAUCUCUAUCAGACAACCAAGUUGUGUAUGAGUCCUAUAAUGUCAAUCCAUACAUAUACACAAGACAACAGUAUAUACAUGUAUUCUGUAUCAAUGCAUAUAUAUGUUCAGAACUUGUCUAUACAGUUUGAUUUGUUAUAUAAACUAGUUAUAAGAUAAUUCAAGUUUUAUUUGUUAUUGUGUCUUAUAGACGAGGAGGAGAGAACAAAUUCAAUCUUGAGCCUUGAAAAUUUUUAAGUAUUCCCAGUGUUGUGAAUUUGCCUUUAGCCCCCAAGCUUACAAGGGUGAUCUUCAUUAUCCGUUGAAUGCGUGUCUCGUUGCAAAAUAAUGAUACAAAGUAAGGAAAUGAGAGUGAAUGAUUGAAUGCUGUGUGUUAUAACUUGUAAGCAUCACAAUACCUAUUGCCUAACUGUUGAUAUAUGAAUUUCAUAUCGGAAAAAUGAGACUUGUUUAUAAGGUUUUAAACCACUCCACUCAUUACCAAUUAGUCUUGGAUGUGAACCUCAGACUACUCUAUCAAAAUGCUCAAAUAUAUAUGGGGGAAUCUAUACCUUUCAAGGGAAAUUGAAUAAGGAUACACUAGUACUCAUACGGUCAUACCAGCUUGAGAUAUUCUCUGAAAUGGUAUUAUAGCAAACACUUGCCAUAACCACAUAAUGUUUGUUCCUUUGUUCCAACAAGCCAAGUUGGCCACAAGGUAAAGCACUAGAAACACAGAACAAGAUUGAUGAGAUAUGUAGCCACCAACCACCACUUAUGAAAUUGAUCUAUGAAAGAGGUUGAAUAACAGAGACCACUCAUCAUUUUGGUGAGCGAUGGAGAUCUUGACAUGCUAUAUAAUCUACCACACACUCCUAAUUUAGGAAAUAAAGGGCUAGCUUCAGGAGAUGGUCCAGAGCUCCCCAUCUGGGAAAGGAAAUUUACACAAAGGUCCAUUAGCUUAGCCUUUGUCAAUGGUCUGGUAUGAAGCAUUGGGCAAUGGUCUGGUAUGAAGCAUUGGGCCAAAUAAUCGUUUUUUUUUUUAAUGAGGAUUUGGAGUGGUUUUAUUAAGUACGAAACUUUGAACUAGAAGAUUGCAAGUCUAAUGUAAAUUGGGCUAAGCUACCCCAUAUCAUAGAUGUGAAGGUCAGAGAUUCGUUGCUACUUAUCAAGUUAGGUGAAUAUAGCUUCCAGAUUUACGUAUGUGUCAAUAGAUUAAGUGGGUGAACAUUUUGAUAAGUAAAUAAAGAUGAUUGACAAAUUUGUAUCUCAAUUUUACGAUCAUCUCAUUUUAUUAUAUUUACAUAGAAGUUUUGAAGUAAUAACAUAUCAUCAGUCCAAACAUAUUCUCAAUAAUACUGUUUGGUCAUGACACACAAAUGAAUUCAUGAUUUCCAUUUUUUACGUAGAAAUGCCAUAAAAUUUCAUUUGCACCCCGUCUCUUUAUGAGUUUUCAAACCUUGCGCCGUUUUGGCGGCCAAAUUCUGAAAGAGGAGUCCACAUCCACCUUGGCUCAAGUAAUCCAAACCUACGCAAAAACCAAGCAGCUACACAAAGGCAAGCAGCUCCACGCUCACCUCCUACGCUCUCAUUACCCACUAUGCAUUUUCCUAACCAACCACCUCCUCAACAUGUACUCCAAAUGUGGCCACGUCGACUACGCCCUCAAGGUUUUCGACGAAAUGCCUCACAGAAACUUGGUUUCCUGGACUGCCAUGGUAACCGGGUUUUCGCAGAACGCGAGGUUCUCGGAGUGCUUCAAGGCCUUUUCGGAGAUGAGAAGAGCUGGGGAGAGCCCGACCCAGUUUGCAUUUGCGAGUGUGAUUAAAGGUUGUGUGGUUCUUGGGUCGGUUGAGAUGGGGAGGCAGCUGCAUUGUCUUGCUUUGAAAUUGGGUUUGUCUUGUGAGUUGUUUGUGGGGAGUAACUUGGCGGAUAUGUAUUCGAAAUGUGGGGUGAUGGUUGAUUCUUGUAGGGUUUUUGAGGAGAUGCCGUGUAAGGAUGCUGUGUCGUGGACUUCGAUGAUUGAUGGGUAUGCAAAGAGUGGGGAGUUUGAGGCGGCUUUAGUGAGUUAUAAGAGAAUGAUUAAUGAUGGGAUUGGUGUAGAUAAAUAUGUUGUUUCUAGUGCAUUGAGUGCUUGUUCUGCACUGAGGGAUUGUCAGUUUGGAAAGUGUGUUCAUUCGACGGUUGUGAAGUUGGGAUUGGAAGUGGAGGUGGCUGUGGGAAAUGCUCUAGUUGAUAUGUACUCGAAAUCAGGAGAUAUGGAGAGUGCUUCAAAUGUGUUUCGGAUUGACCCUGAGCGGAGAAAUAUUGUGUCGUAUUCCUCUCUGAUCAAUGGUUAUGUCGAGAUGGAUGAAAUCGAGAAGGCUUUUAGUGUGUUUGUGGACUUACAGAGGGAGGGAGUUGAGCCUAAUCAGUUCACUUUCUCUAGCUUGGUCAAGGCCUGUGCCAACCAAGCAGCACUUGAACAAGGGAUCCAACUUCAUGCUCAGGUGGUCAAGUUUAAAUUUGAUAGAGACGAUUUUGUGGUUUCUGUUCUUGUUGAUAUGUAUGGAAAAUGUGGGUUGCUUGAUCAUUCAAUACAAGUGUUUAAUGAGGUAGCCACUCCGACUGAAGUAGCAUGGAAUUCGUUGUUAAGUGUAUUUGCAGUUCAUGGCUUAGGAAAUGAUGCCUUGAAAACUUUUAGUAGAAUGGUCCAAGCAGGAGUGAAACCAAAUGCAAUAACAUUUGUCAGUCUUUUAACAGGGUGUAGCCAUGCUGGAUUGGUAAAGGAAGGUUUAAAGUACUUUUACUCCAUGGAGAAAACAUAUGGAAUAGUACCUAGAGCUGGACAUUACUCUUGCAUUAUUGAUUUACUUGGCCGGGCUGGAAGGCUUGAAGAGGCAGAAGAAUUUAUUAACAGCAUGCCAUUGCAGCCAAAUGCUUUUGGGUGGUGCUCUUUUCUCGGUGCUUGCACAAUCCAUGGUGAUAAAGAGAGGGGGAAACUGGCAGCUGAGAAAUUGAUACAGCUCGAACCUGAGAACAGUGGAGCACAUGUUUUGCUUUCAACUCUGCACGCGAAGGAGAAAAAAUGGGAUGAUUUCAGAAUUGUGAGGAAGAUGAUGAGAGACAGCAGCAUGAAGAAACUGCCCGGUUAUAGUUGGGUUGAUGUUGGAAACAAAACACACACAUUUGGAGCCAAGGAUUGGUCUCAUUCUCAGAAAAAAGAAAUAUAUGAGAAACUUGAUAGUCUUCUUGAUCAGAUAAAGAAAGUUGGGUAUGUUCCAAAUACAGAUCUUGUUCUACAUGAUAUGGACGACAAUUCAAAGGUAGAGCUGCUUCACCAUCAUAGUGAGAGGAUAGCCAUUGCAUUUGCACUGAUAAGUAUGCCUGCCGGGAAGCCAAUCAUUGUGAAGAAAAAUAUAAGGGUGUGUUUGGAUUGCCAUUCUGCAAUCAAGUACAUCUCCUUAGUUGUUGGAAGGAAGAUUAUUGUUAGGGAUAAUACCCGGUUUCACCAUUUCGCAGAUGGCUUGUGUUCAUGCGGGGAUUACUGGUAAAAGUUUUGAAGGCCAAAGUUUUGUGAAGGAACUCAUACAAAUGUUUUCUGCCGGGUUACUUAAAGCUAAUCUGUACCAAACGACUAUUCUGAUAUGAGAGCCUAUUCGGCGCAUCCGGGUGCGCGGCGCACCCGUCGUCUCCACCGUUAAUUUUUUUUUUUUUUUUUUUUUUUUUGGCGGGUCAAAAUGGACGGUGGAUACAACCGGGUGCGCUGUAUAAUUUUCAGUCAUUAUGAAUGAGUGAGGAGAUUUUAGCUUUGAUUUAAAAUCGUGUAGAAGCGGAAUAACCCUGGAGCCUUUGUCUUGGACUUGGGAAGAAGUUAUUGCAUUUCUUCAUCCAUCGGAUUCUUUAGCUCAAUUAGUUCAGUGUACAAAAAAGAAAAGUGAUUUAGGUAGCCAUUGUCAGGUGAUAUAUGUGAUUCGAUUCUUUGAUCGACAAGGUUUGAAGGCAUAUAGAGACAGGUAAAAAUUUUUUUUUUUUUUCUGAAUAAUGCUGAAUGUUGAAGGCAUGUUUGAAUGGAACCAAACACUCCCCAGGUUUGAAGGCAUGUUGAACCAGUAAAAAUGCCGACUGUUACCCGAUACCCAUCAAUUACUUCUGCUUUGCAGAGAUGUAAACGGCCUCUAAUUCUGGAAGAUAAUAAAUCAAGCUCAGAUUAAAAUCAGAUAUUAAGUAACAACAAAGAAGAAUUUUCUCUGAAGCAAAGCCAUUCAUGCUUCUCCACAAGUUCUAUCUCACUUUCUAGAUGGAAAACUCUAUACACGCCCAUGGCUUUUAUUCAAAUAUUCCGGGAACAAAAGAGAGAACAUAGACAUAAUACUCAAAACGAGUGUGCACUAAUAUAUGAAGGCUAGAAACCACUACUAAGUACUAACAAAUGACAUAUCGAGGAUCUAUCAUCUAGUAUCUACAGAGGCAUACUUAAAUCCCUCAGAUUGAUGCUGAUGUGGUAGUGAAGAGGCUGAGAGGCCUCAGACAAGGCACUCAUGGGACUAAAGAGGAAGCAUUUUAAACUCUUGGAUAACGUGAGCGACCUUUCUUCUUCAAGAAAUCAGGAAUCUCAACUGCACUGCCCUCUGUGAAGGAGGAAGGUCUUCGAUUGAUUCCAAGAGUAACAUCUCCUUGUGCCUGCAAUUUGGUAGGUUAAUAAAAAUGUCGAGAGAGACUUAUGCAGAAAGGGAAAGAGACAGCUAUAAGGAAUACCUGGAGUGGCCUCCCAUCACUUUCCUCUUGGCGUUUGAAACCAGUAGCAAUUAGAGUGAUACUAACCUGAAUGAAACCAAACCAACAACAUGAUAUUUUAUAGGUUUUCAUACUGAACUACCACCAGAUAUUAGGAUAACCAGAAGUCCAGAACUAUAUAUCUUCUAUUUACUAAAUAUGCCUUUAGAGUUUAGAUGCAUAAAUGCAAUUCUUCACUCGGUACCACUUUUCCUGGCCAGUGAAAUUUCAGAUAGAAAGGACCAAGUAAAAGCAUAUACAUAUUGAUGGGGUUCUCUCCCUCAUGAGUACUUUAAAAACGGUUGGAUAACUUGUAAAAAACAAAUAUUAAUGAAAUAAAAUAAAAUCAACACUCAUCCAACCGUUAUUUAAAAGGCUAAUGGAGUCCUCACAAGAACUCAUACAUCAAUUGGAUUAUCCUUUAUCUUAUUCGUUAAAUUACUGGCACAGUGAGAUAUUAUGGGGUGAACUAACGCAGCUGUGAUCCAGUCAUACUGUGCCAAGGGUAGGAUUGCAGACUUUAGAGAAAGCAACAAAACUUACUUGACCAGUGAGUGAUGGAUCUGUCACUGCUCCAAAUAUUAGAUUUGCUGUUGGAUCUACAAGAUCAUAUAUAACCUCUGCGGCAGCAUUGACCUAUAACAUCCAAAAUUAGAGUUUACCAGAAGAGAAAUGUCUCAAUCGACUGUAAAUGAAAUCACUACUUAAAGAAUUCAGUAGAUGGGGGAAUAAUCAUAUUGGAAUGCAGGUAGUUCUGGUAAGGAAGUUUUAUCCCAAUCAGAAGAAAUGGUACCUCAUAGAGUGUCAAAUCAGUUCCACCAGUUAUGUUCCACACAAUUCCAGUUGCCCUCUCUAUACCAAUAUCUAAUAAAGGUGAUUGAAUGGCAUUUAAUGCAGCAUCCCUAGCCCUUGUCUUCCCUGUUCCCAAAAAGGAAGGACAAAACAAAAGCACACAGACAAUUAGCUCCUGUUAGAAAAAAAAGAGGGUUAAAUGACUUGCAAAAGGAAAUAGGCUCUGAUUAAAUAAACUGCUAAAUGCACAAGUCAACCACAUGACAAAACUACGUAGUAUACAUAACUAACUGGACAUGUUAAAUAAGGCAGAAGUGCAUAUAUAUGAUAUAUCUUGAAAAGCAUCCAAAGCAAUUUCACUUCAUCUUUAUGAACCUCGAUGUACAUAUUUUGUGCAAAUCCUACGACUAAUAGCUACUUGACACACAGAAUUUCAGUCAAUUUUUUUUCUAAAAUUUUCCAAAACAAAACAGAUGUAAAGUUUUGCCUUGAACAAGAGUCAGAUCUCACAAGCAUUAGAGAACAUGCAUCUAGAAGAUGGGAUUGGUUACCACCAACAAGCUUAAACAUGUAUAAGGACUUUGAUUUCUCUAUAUAUUGAUAACAUAGUCAUUACAAAAUCAAACCUAUUGCCAUGCACACUCCAAAUUACAGGACAUGGAGACUGCAAUUAAAACUACUUAGGACAUCUAUAACACUAACAUAUCAUUUUCAGUAAAAAUAUUAUCAGCCAAGGGCACUUCCCCUCUUUCAUAAGCAUCCAGUAGCUCAUCAAACAAACAUUUCUCUAAGCUUAUCCUGAAGAUUAUUGAGGACCAGUUCAAAAAAUUUGGGAUUAGAUCACUUUCCUCCCCAUACACUAACCCGAUAGACUGAUCUUGGUAUUCAUUCAUAACAGUAAUUUUCCCAAGGUUAGCCACAAUGAUGCCAUCAAGGAAGGCACUGGUAAUUAGGUUCCAGCACAAUCAUGUCUAAAAUCAUACGUAAAGCCUAUGACUCUGACCAUAUUAGCACUGAUUACAUUCUAGUUAGUAGAUCAGAAAUUACCAGUUGCAGUUCCUAUCCCCAUCAAUGACGAACCUGCAUUUGCCAUUAUAGCCCUUACAUCAGCAAAGUCGACGUUUACCAGCCCGGGAAUCUGCAAUUAAGGUGAUGACUAUCAACUAGUGUAACAAAAUAUAAAUAAGGAAAUAGGACAUGAAAAUACAAAUGAUCAACUAAGUAAUUAUGGAACUGCAUUGACCUAAAGAUGAUAUUCCAAGCAUAUAUCAAUGCAAUGCUCAUAAAUUCCGUUAAUCAAUUCAAUAAGUCUGAAAUAUAUGAUAUCACUGUCAGUAUAUUCACAACUUGGUACCAGUUUUAGAAAUAAUAAUAUUUUAGAAUAAUGAUAAGAGUGUUUAGUAUAUAUAUUUAGAACUACUUGUGCGCUUACGAUGCACACAUUAGGGAAAGCAUUGAGAUGCCUAUCUAUCAAGCACUCUUAAUGGAUGUUCUUCAGCAUUCAUUCACAUCUUCCUCUUAAAAGUUUUGUUUGCUUACCUUUUAUAGUCUAAUUAUACUUUACUUCACAUCAAUAUAAAGUUCAUAAUUACAACAUCAUCAAAAUCACAUACCGUAAUUAUAUCAGAGAUACCACGAACACCUUGUCGAAGAAUAUCAUCAGCUAAAUUAAAUGCCUCUGUUACUGGAGUAGACUGGGAAACUGCAGUCAACAACUUGUCAUUUGGAAUGACUAUCAGUGUGUCGACAUUCUCUCUCAAAGCUGCAAUCCCUUCCUGAGCUUGAACCGCCCGUUUUCGUCCCUCAAAAGAGAAAGGAGUUGUCACAACACCAACCGUCAGGAUCCCCAUUGAUUUUGCAACACCUGCAACUACAGGAGCUCCACCAGUUCCAGUUCCUCCACCCAUUCCAGCCUGCGUGUAAUUUAACGUCAAAUACAGAAUAGCUUGAAUAAGUUUGGUAACAGCACAGAGUGGCCAAGGUUGGGAAUAUAGAACACAAAAAACAAAAUUUGAGUUUACCGUAACGAAAACCAUGUCUGACCCAAAUAAUGCUUCUUCUAUUGAUUCUCGACUUUCUUUGGCAGCAUUCAUACCAACAUCCGGGUUUCCACCAGCUCCAAGACCCCUGGUAAGCUCUUGACCAAUUUGUAAACGGUUCUCAGGAAAAACAGGCGACAUUCUCAUGGCUUGAACAUCGGUGUUAACAAUCCAGAACUCCACACCCUUCAUUGCACUCUCAAUCAUACGAUUGACUGCAUUUGACCCUCCACCACCAACACCAAUAACUUUAAUUUUUGCUUCAUUGUAAUUAUUCGGAGAAGAUUUGUCACUCAAGCUCUCAGUCACACUCCCACCUGGAGUAUCUUUCCUCAGAUUGCUUGACGUAUUAUUCCCCUCACCUCUGAGCAUAGACACUUCCGGGUGUAGAUUCAGAAAAGGGUCUUUAUUCGGAUACGAACCCACACUGUGAGAGUUUUUGAAUUGAUUCAAAUUCAACUUAUGGACUGCACCCACAAACCCAAACUUCCCCUCAGGCAGCAUUCUCACACUUCUAACUCUUUCGAAGUGAUUCCCCACUAACAAUCUCCCUCCAACUCUAGUUAGAACCCCAACCGGGUUCCGAGUAUCCGAAAAAGUAAAAUGUGUCGAUGCAUAUGUCGCCAUCCUAUAGUGGCGAAACUCAAACCCACAGACUUGCUAAACUGCUAAAUGGCAAUAAAUUCAGAGACCCAAGUGCCUUAAAAACCUCAAUUCCCACCACAAUUCAGCACCUGUUACAGAAAACCCAGAUAAUUCUAAGAAACCACACAACACAGCAGAUUAAUAAUAAAGUUUAAACAUUGGACUAAAGCCAAAUCAAAGAGAAACCCACUAACCUAAAUAACACGCACUACAAUACCCAGAUAACAAUUGCGCAAAUUCAAUGAAGUAUGAAGCUAACAGCUGAUAACAAAUCAGACCCACCAAGCAGAAAUGCAAAACAAGCAAGAGGCAGAGAGAAGGGUUACCUGGGGUUUUAGAGGUGAGAGGAAUCUGAGAUAGAGAGAGACCUAGAGAAGAGAGGCAACAAAAUUGGGAAGAAGCAUUUGGGGGAGUGGAGCCCAAAGAGUGUGUGUCACUCAGGUUUGGACUGAUGAAGUGAUGAUGAUAAUGAAAUGAUCAAAAAUUAAAACAAAGAUCUGGUGAAAGGGGAGAGCACAAAUAGCGAUUGGGGUAUUUUGGAAUCUUUAGGGAGACCAUGUGGGCUCUCUUCUCUUGAAAACAACAUCAUUGUUGUGAACUGAGUCAUAAACCCCUUAUUAGCUGGUAACCACUUUUCAAAUGCUUCCAAAUUUGUGAACUAUUUGGGCCCAAAUAAUUACAGCCCACAUUAUAAGAGGAGAUGCUAUCUAGUAUCUACAAAGAUGUCCAAUAAGUUUGAUAAGUUACUAGUUAAUGAAAUUGUGAAGGAACAUGUAAUGUUAGCUAGUUGUAGAGGAAAAAAGUUUCCAUAAAUUGACUCAAACAGCUGAAAACUGAAGCUCGAAAGCUUAGAACAUCGUCAUGGGAGAUAAAAUUUGUAUUUGACAAUUUUGAUCAUAAAACUUCCAAAUGUUGUGUCGAACUAUACUAUUUUGUUUAGGGGACACCAUUGGAUUGGAGUUAAACAUGCUGGCUGUCAAAUUUGUCCAUUUCUUCAACACCAAAGCAAUUGGAGAGUCUGAAUAAAAGCCUAAAUGGUGCCCUUAUUGCUUCUCAUCAAGGUGAUAUUGAAGGUUGGGCAACAUCUGCUUUUCAUUCUUAAUCUUUCCAGUUGGUUGGAAGAGAAAAAUGGGCGUCCAAUCCUAUGAGAAUAAACUUUUGGGGCUUCUAAAUGCAGCAGCUUAGGACUUCUGGAAAUAGUGGUUUUCACUAGUACAUCUGAGAUAUCAGGUUGCAUAUAAAAAACCAUCUGCCUCAUUGUCACGGCCUAGCCUGCAUAGCUCAUAAUGUACCCUGCAUAGCUCAUUAUGCUAUCAGCCUUCUGCUGAUGAAACAUAAAACAUUGGAAAAGAACUAUCUAAGAUCCAGUACUAGGGCAUAUCAAGUACUGUCAUCGGCUAGAUAACCAUAAACAAACAGCAUGAAGGAAGAAAAUCCAAACAAUGAUAGCACAGCACACAAUCCAAUCAAUGAUAGCACACCACAUAUUCUAAAAGUCGAUUUAUUCCACAAUCAUCAUCGCCAUACAACCUCUAUACAAUUCCCCAGAAUUAUCAACUACAAUAUAGACUAGAUUAUCAAACUAAGUAGAGUCAUAUAAUGCACCAAAGAAUGAUGUAACAAAACCAUAGUGUACUACACUACGCUAACUCCACAAAAAUGAACUUCAGCUAUGAUGAGAGUUGACUACUGAUGACGCUAAUUCUAAAGAGUAAAGACAUCUUCAGCAAGAUAUGAAGUGCAGUCAGCAACACACAAGUUUGCUAAAUCAAAGUUGCUAUCACCAGUAGGUGAUAUAUUCACAGCCAUUUAUCACCAGAAGGUGAUAGUUUCACUGCACAUCAUCACCAGAAGGUGAUUGCUUCGUUGCACAUCAUCACCAGAAGGUGAUUGUGGUCAUCACUGCAUGGGUUAGAAAAGUAUCACCAAAUAGUGAUAACUUUUACUGUAGAGGGUCCUCUUUGUCCAAACUCCUUUUCUCCUCAACGCAUUGACAUCAAAGUCCGAACCUUUCUUUCCCUCUCUGCCUUCUUAGCACUCGGGGUCCUCUUCAGCCUCUGAAGUUCUUCCAACACCACCUUCUCAACUUUGUCAAUGGAGUUCAGCAGCUUCUUCUGUGGUGUAAGAAACUCUCCCUCAUCAGGCUGAUUGGCCACCUCUAGCAGAACUUUGUGCACUUUAAGAACAGAAGGUGGGCGAGGUCUCUUCUUAAUGGUUGAUGGAGUGGCAGCAAGGACUUGAUGCUCAGGAGGAGCAUCCUGACCAUGUAGAGACGGAACUUGAACCUGUGCAGUAGAGCCAUUCUCCUCACCCAAGCGAGAUCUUCUCCUCUCAAUGGCCUACACAGAAAGUACAGUGUAAGGCUCUUAAUAAACAUAUUCUAUAGAUACAUAGUGGCUGACAAUAAAUCAUGUUAUGAGAAUAAUUAAAAUGAGCUAGUUUCAUAACUGACAACAGAAAACCAAAAGGUAUGUUUCAUUAGCACAGUGUAAUUACGAACCAAUUAAUAGAGUUGAAACAUAAAGCUUCACCAGAUUUUUCACAUGUCCGUCCCUUUGGAAAUUAAGUUAAGGCCAGACGAAGUUAUAGCAUUAAAGAGAGGCAUAACAUUAAAAGAGUGAACUUUACUGAGCAAUAGUAUUUCUUAUUUAAGAACACUAAACAUCAGCAGUAGAAGCAGGUUUGAUAACGAAGGUAUGUAGUUAUGAACCAAAUGACACUAAUUGUUUCUCAAUUUAAGAACAUAGCAAAGAGAGGAACACUUUUAGUUCUAACCCACUAAAGUUGAAAUAUAUAUAUAUAUAAACUAACCACAAAAUCAAUACAAGGAAACUGUUUGAUCAAUAAGUCAAUAACCCAAUCAAACAAAGAAAAGCCAAGGGGUAACAUAUGAAUCACUGAACAUAUAGAGCACGUUUUACAUGCCAAUAAACCGAAUAAUGUACCUGAAACUCUUCGUUCAACAAACCCAUUAAACCCAAUAAUGAUUGAGACCAUGGAAAACGAGUGAGACUCUUUGUUCAACAAAACAAGCAAACAGCAUAUAGAAUGUGACAUGAAUCAAUACAGGUAUAAGCAAACAAAAGUGAGACCCAUUUGUAAACACACUGCAAAAUGAAUUCAAUGAAAGUCAUUAAACAAACCAACCAUUCAAUGAACUACUGCAAAUAAAUAGCCGUGCUGGUUUAAUAAUCUAAUGUAAAUGAAAAAGAGACCCAAUAUAGAUCAAUCAGCCAGGAAAUCAAAUUUCUUGUGCAAUUUACAGAUCAAACAACACAGAACCAAAAGGCAACAAUCGAAUCACUGCAAAUAAAGAGCACUGAAAGCCUAAUAUCCAAUUAAAAAAUUUGGGAUUUAGGGUUUAUGGCAAUCCCCUGAAAUUCUUUGAAGCCCUCAAACUAAUCAAACACAGAACUCAGAGAAAGUGAUCCUCACCCUAGUAAUCGCAGUUAUAUCACGCAGAGGGGUUCUUGGGUACCAAGAAGGCAACACACUGUUCGUCCUCCGUGCCCUUCUCCGGCUAGAACCUCCGACCGGCUGCGUAUUCUCUCUGGCGGGAGUCACCAUCCCAAACGCACUACGUUCACGCCCGAUUCCGGUACCCGGAGUCCUCAAACUGCUCGGUGCCACUCCACCGCCCGUCGCCCAAAUCCCUAGAGGCCGCUGAGUCACCGGAGUAACCGCAGCCGCCGCCCUAAGCCUCGUCGGCUCCGGACGCUCGUCCACAAGAAUCCUGACGCCGCCGCUCCGCCUCUGAGCGAAGGCCUCGGCGAUGUCGAACGGCCUCACCAAUCGGAAUCGCGACUCAGCCGGCAUGAUGAUCGAUCUGAAAACGGCAAAUUAAACCAAGAUUAGUACUCAAAUUUCAAAGAAACGAAAACUCCCAGUCAAAACUAGGGUUGACUCAAACCGCCGGAGACGAAACCGUCACCGGAAAAUAGAAAACUCAACGGCGAGGCAGAUCGAUCUGAGAGAAGAAGAAGAAGCAAAGAUCGAAAGGCUUAAUUUACCUGAAUCAGGGUUAAUCUAGGGUUUCCGACGGCUGUGUGUGGGUCUCUUCUUUAAGCUCUGAGAGAGCAGAGAGGCUUUUGGGAUUGGAUUUGAGGUGAAGGCGAAUUUUCAAAUUGGACGAAAUGAGCGGUAUUAUUGACCUCGAUUUCCCAAAUCCCAAAAUUUUGGCACGUGUAAUCGACCUCUUUCGAUUUGUGCAUUCAAAUUUCGUUACGAGCGGGAAUCAAAUCCCCACCGUCCAUCUGUCGUAAUGAUCUGAAAUGACGGUGUAAGAUACACUAGACUGUUAACCACGGUUAGGUUAGUUAACUACGGGGUGAUGUAAAUAGCCUUUGCACGUGGUAAUCUCACAGCCGAGUUUUGUUACGCCACGUGGGUGGGAGUGUGGACGCAACAAGGAUAUGAGGUGAAAUGACUGAACUAGCCUUGGGUUGGUUAUACGCUUGGCUGGGACGAGUCUGGGGAAGACGGUGGUUAUUGAUUGAUGGCUUCGCAGAUUCUGGCGGCGGCGACAGGGAGGACGGCGAUGGCGGCGAGGAGGCAAGCGGUGAACUUGACGGAGGCGGCGGCUUCUAGAAUACGGCAGCUGCUGGAGCAGCGGCAGCGGUCGUAUCUGAAGCUCGGGGUUAAGGCGCGUGGCUGCAACGGCUUGUCGUAUACUCUCAAUUACGCCGGUGAGUGCUUGCCGGAGAGUUUUUCCGUGCUCGGAUUUUGGUUUUGAUUGUUGCGAUGUUGAUAGUUUUGUUGAUUCGUGUGUUGAUGUGUAGAUGAUAAAGGAAAGUUUGACGAGUUGGUUGAAGAUAAAGGCGUCAAGAUAUUGAUCGAUCCAAAGGCUCUGAUGCAUGUGAUUGGCACCAAGAUGGAUUUUGUGGAUGACAAGCUCAGGUUAGCCUCGUUUUGCAAUUCGUUUGGGGUUAAUUGAAAUUUAGGGUAACUUAGGUUCAUUUAUUCUUCAGAACUGAGAAAUUGUGCUUUGAUUUGGUUUAGUUGAUAUAUGCUUAGUUUCAUUAUAGAGAAAGCUAGCUAGGUUGGAGACGAAUCGAUGUUUUUCGUGUGUUUUAGCAAGCAUGUAAAUAUGCCAAGGAACUCUGUGAGUUUCUUCUUCAACCGAUUGUUUCCUGCUAUUGCCAUUAUUUGGACUGGAGAUUCCCUCCCGAGGCUAAUGCUGCUUGGUAGUGUACAACUGUAAUCAUAUAAAGCAACAUGAGUGUGCAAUGCUUCCCGUUGAAUAUACCUCUUCAUUCUCAACUAGUAAUGUUAGAGUUGCCCAUCUUUUUCACCUCUGCCAUCAUGACUGUCUCCACCGUCAGUUUAUUAAGUUAACUAUGGGAUCAUCAUCAGCUCCAUUACUGGCACCAGUAGUUUAUUAUAAUGGAAUCUGAGGAUCAAUAAUAACUAAGAAACUAUGUGCUUUUAUUGGUUGGUUUGUGUGUCUGGGAAGAUAACACAGGAUGGAAACUUGGAUGAUUAGGACAUAGAAUUUUACUCACUGAAUUGUUAAUUGGCGUUUAAGUCACCUGAUAUACAUGCGUAUGCGAAUAUAGAUCUAACAUGAUCACCUUGUGUACAUCUCUGAUAUACAUGCAUAUUUUAGGAGAGGCAAUGCGGCAUAUGCAUAACAAACCUUCAAGAAAGAUGGACUUUAGUAGUUAUUAUGAUGGUUAUCACCUUGUGUACAUCUCUGAUAUACAUGCAUAUUUUAGGAGAGGCAAUGCGGCAUAUGCAUAACAAACCUUCAAGAAAGAUGGACUUUAGUAGUUAUUAUGAUUGGUUUUUUUUUUUUUUUGAAAGGGUUAUUAUGAUGGUUUGGUUUAGAUCACAUAAAUUAGUACAUGUAAUUGGGACAUUGACUAGUCUGAGUUAAAGGGGAGAUAAACUGAUUCCUUGUUCAUUUGAUGAACGUUUUUUAUUUGUAACUGCUAUUUUCAUUGCUUAAUGAGGGGUUUGCUCUGGUUCAGAUUGAAGUUGAUGAAUGUAACUGUUGGCUCCAGUUAUGUUUUCCCUUCCUCAUCUACUCACACUUCAGUUUAUGUUUUGGCAGGUCUGAGUUUAUAUUUAUCAAUCCCAACUCAAAAGGACAAUGUGGCUGUGGUGAAUCUUUCAUGACAACCGGUAGUACUGGAGCUACUAAGAACAGCAACUCCUAAGCAAUCAUGGCCAACUUGCGAUGAGACAAGACUUUGACUAACAUAUUUGUCCUGGCAGUGUCGUGUGAUAUAGCAAUGACCGCUGAGAUGGUUCUCAAGUUCAUCUUCUUUGUAAAGCUGAUUCCGGAUUUCUUAACAUGUGGUAUACCUGUAGUGUUUGUGCUUAUUGAAUUGUAUGAACUUUUGUAAUGGUACACACGUAAGAGCUGCCAAAUGUUGGAGGGGGGCAGUAUAAAGAAAUUGUCAUGGGAAUCUAUAAACCUCUACUAAUCUCUUUAAGUGCUUCAGGACAAUAUGCUUCCAGGCUUGGUUGUAUUCAGUCUGUGGAAGUCAUGUUUAUGCUCUCUUUAUUGAAGCAGAAAUCUUGUGAGAAAGAUGAACAUGCCCUAGUAUUUUAAACCACUUAAAUGCAGUGGUAUGCUCACUUCUUUCAUUCUUAGUUCAUUUCUCAUGAGACAUCGUUACAUACUUGGACUUUGUCUUUCAUACAGAGGAUGAAAUUAUAACCUAUGGUUUGUUGUAGAUCGACAGCAAGGACUUGCGUCAGUAAUGCAAUAUAGUAUGUACAAUCGAUCUUUGUGUGAUUGGCUUUGCCUCUUGCAGCGUGGUUUGCGCAGUCAGAAGGGAUCCAACUUUGAAGUUUGGUAUGGUGAUACCUGUGGUUCUGACCUUCAGAUAAGAAAGAUGUGUGUAAAAAUCGAAUAUCAAACUCAGUUCUCUAGUUCAUCUAUCCAUGUCUUUCUAUGUUCCUUGUGUUCCGAUAUCAACUUUUUAUUCUUUGUCAUGUUCUUGGAUCCAUCUCUAACUCAACUCAUAAUGCAGUGAUGACCAAUAAAUCAAGGUAGAGCAGUAUAAUGAUAUAUAACCCUGUAGGAGAAAAGUGAAUAUAACCGUGUCAUGUUCUUGAGAUCGUGUCACACACACUGUCACGAUAAGCGUUUAUAUGCAACUAUCUCUAGCUCGUUAUAAUAGAUACCAGUCAUGUAUGUUUACCUUGAAACUUUGCUCAGUUCGCUUUGUUUACACCCUUAAGAAAAAUAAAUAAAAAAAUCACGCUAAAAGAUGAAGCUAAAAAACUCAGUAUCUAAACAACACCGAAAAGCAAAUUUGAAAACCAAAGUAAUUUUAUUAAUACAAAAUUGUGAAAUGUGAUGCCCAUGUACUAUCAACUCAAUUUAUGUCAUUCAUAUCAAACAAUACUAUAUGAUGGAUAUCAAUCACUUCUUUUCGGUAUUAAAUUUAAAUUUACAUAGUCCGUAAUGUGAUGUAAACUCGAUUUGUAUUUAUUGUAAUCAAAAAAUAGAUGAACCAAUCUGCUAAGAACCAAUCAAAAACUAGUAAUUUGUUAACCUAACUGAUAGAAUACAAAUUUAAAAGAAGGAAGAACCGCAUGAAAUUUUUUAAAUACAUUAUAAAUGCUGAAAAUUGUUAUUUCUUUCCUUGUAGCUAAAAAGGAAAUUCCCCACAGACCAAUAUGUCAAUUGUUAAGAAUAAGUAGGGGGUCUUCACACGCGAGCAAGACUCUCUACCAUUUUAUUCUCUCUCAUUUUUUUUCCCCUAAUUCUCCUUUCAUUCUUCGUUUUCUCUCACCCAUUCAAAUUCUACAUUUCGAUCGAUUUCACACCUUGAAAGAUUUCCAAUUCCAAUCAUGGUCGUCAGGUAAAACCAUCCCCGAUUCUCACUUUGCUCUCAUCUGUUCUCGUUUUCAUUACGAUUUUAAUCUCUGUGGUUAGGUUAUUGCGUGUCAUUCAAUUUGUGGGAAUGGGCUAUCUAGAUUGGUAUUGAUCCUUUCAAGAGUUUUGAAUUUUUUGAACUUGUAUUGUAUGCAAUCCCCAAAUUACUACAGUUGUAGGAAUCAACUAGAUGAUUCUCACUAAUAGUAGUGAAACUCACUCAUUUGGAAUUGAAAGUUUAAAACUUUUAUCUGGGUUUUUGAGUUUUGAUAUGCUAGACACGGCAGAUUGGUAUUUUGCAUUGAUAAAUUUUGAUUUUGCUACUUUUUUAUGACACCCAGAUGAUAGGCUUUGCAAAUAUCUGUGUUCUAAGAUGGGUUCUUGAUUUGAUGGGUGUUAUUGAGCUUGGAAACUACUAGCUAUCCUAGAUUUUUGUUUGGUGAUUCAUUUGUUGGGGAAUGGUUCGUAUGGAGCACCUUCCGGUGGAGGUCAUAGGUAACAUACUGUCGCGGCUUAGAGCUGCCCGGGAUGUGGUGAUUGCAUCUGCGACGUGCAAGAAAUGGAGAGAGGCUUGGCGAAACCACCUCCACACUCUAUCUUUCAAUUCCAACGAUUGGCCUGUCUAUCAUGAUCUCACGACAAGUAGGUUGGAGAUUCUGAUAACCCAGACCAUAUUCCAAACGACUGGUUUGCAGUGUUUAUCGAUUUUUAUGGAUGAUGUUGAUGAGUUCUCAGCUGCCCCAGUGAUUGCUUGGCUCAUGUAUACUCGGGACACCUUGCGGCAAUUGCAUUAUAAUGUGCGGACAACACCAAAUGUUAAUAUCAUUGAGAAAUGUAGUCGUCAGAAGCUUGAAGUGUUGGCCUUGGCUCAUAAUUCUGUAACAGGUGUUGAACCAAGUUAUCAGAAGUUUCUGUGCUUGAAGUCACUUUCCUUGAGUUAUGUCUGCAUCUCAGCUUUGGAUUUGAGCCUUUUACUCACUGCAUGUCCAAGACUUACCAGUUUGUCUCUUAUUAAUCCUGAUAUAGCCAUGUCAGAUGCACAGGCAACAAUGGAACUUACCAGUGCCUCAUUGAAAGAUAUAUAUGUUGAAGCAGUCAGUUUAGAUAAGUUCAUAUUGGAGGCGGAUACCCUUGAGAAUCUGCACUUGAAAGAUUGUACAUUGGAGCUUUUUGAGCUUCUUGGUAAGGGGUCAUUGAAGGUUUUGAAGAUUGAUGAUGUUAGUGUGCUCCAUCUCGAUAUUGGUGAAAACACAGAGAAUCUUCAGAUUGUGGAUGUCAGCAGCUUCACAAUCAUGUGGCCAAAGUUCUAUAACAUGAUCUCUAAGUCAUCAAACUUAAAGAGGCUUCGACUAUGGGGUGUAGUGUUUGAUGAUGAGGAUGAGGUUGUGGAUUUGGAGAAUGUUUCUGUUUGCUUCCCACUGUUGAGCCACCUAUCCUUGAGUUAUGAUUUAAGAGAUGUUUGUGGCUUGCAGGGGACAUCUCGUUUGGAGAAUGUGGUUGUUUUAGAACUUGGAUGGACUAUAAUCAGUGAGCUCUUCUCUGAAUGGGUAGCAGGACUUAUAGAGAGAUGCCCUAAAUUGAGAAAGUUGGUCAUCUAUGGGGUUGUUUCAGAAGCCAAAUCCCAGGAAGAGUGCCAAACUUUGGCAAACUUCACCUCUGCCAUUGUCCGGCUGAUGAGAAAAUAUAUGCAUGUGGAGAUUCAGUUUGAAUAUGAAUAGAAGUCCUGGUCUUCCAUUUGGCUUUCUGGUUUUCGUUCAGCAUGAUCUGUACAACAAGGUACAUGGCACGUUAUGAUGAUUCAUCACUCUCAUAUUAAGGGUGCCUCCUAUUUACUAAAAUGCUGAGCAGAUGUAACCUUAAAGAUUGUUUAAAAAAUAGGCUUGUACGUGUUUCAGAAUAUUCAAAGGGGAUUUUCAAUGAUUGUUUUCUGCUAGUUUUUGUUUGUACUUGUUUCAGAAAUGGGAUUUUCAUAUUGGAGAUUGUUUUCUACUUUCUGUGCUUUGUUUUGAAUUUAGUAGUCUAUGUCUUUCUAUAAUAUUUCACCAUGUCUUUAUUUUGUAGUGCAGUUAGUUAUGGAUAAUUCGGGUUGAAGCCGUUUAUGGCACUCUAUAGUCUAUAUGGCUACCUUCUUGAAUAUGGGUUGGAGGGUGUAGUGUGCUAUUAUCACCUGAUUACUGAGCAGGUGAAGUCUUUGCUUUCACAAUUCAAUGGAAAAAGUCUGAGCGUGUUUCCUGAAAAUUGAAAUUGAUGGUAACAUGUUCUUUAGUUAGUUCUGUGCACAGGAAGUUAAACUGAACCAAGAUUCGUGAGUAAACUGGGGUACAAUAAGUCAUAACAUGAACACAUUAAACAAUAUGCUCAAAUUUUGAGGGUCACUCUCAACAUAUGGAGGCUUUCUUUUUCUAUGCAUCUUUUAACCUCUAAAUGUGAAGUAGAUGCUUAAAUAUACAUUGCUAGGGAAUGCUAGCUAUAAGUUUAUUACAGUAUAGAUAAACAGGUUUCUGCAGAAAAACUCGUACCCUGUGCAUUUGAGUUGUAAAACGUUGCUGAUCGGAGAAGAAAAAAAACAGAGUUGUUUGCUCUUGAAAGUUUUGGUGUUUUUUGCAUUAAAUUAGAUUCAAUGAAUUGUUUGAAAGAAUAUGCAUUUCUUUGGUAAUGCAUUCAGCCGUACUUUUGAGUUUGCUCGGUGACUUUGGUUGAUCAAACUACUGGCAUGAAUUCAGACGUGUAUCUUUGUCUCUGUUGCCUUUGGUUUUCAAUCCAUUGGAACAGAUCAUCCUCUGACCUUGGCUUAUGUUUCUUUGGUGAGUCUUUUCGUGCUUGUUUCCAGCUUGCAUCCCUUUGUGUUUAACCAAGAUUUUUUUUUUAUGAAGGAAGAUAUUGUCUGGAUGAAUAGCCAAAUAGGAAAAUACAAUUUCAGGAGCUUUGCUUUUGUAUUAUAAAGUGUUUAUAUUAUGAAUGCAACACUAACAGGUAUAAAAAGUUGACUUUUACUGGAUUUGAGUGUAAUUAUCUGGUUUUAGGCUGAGUUUUGAUUUCCUGAAAUAUAGUCUUGGUUAGACAACAGGAUCUGACAUGAUAUAUACAUUUCCGCACUUGGUAGUUUUGAAACGUCCAGAAAACUUUUCAUUAAAAUUCGAAGGGACCUUCAGCUUGCAGUUGAUCUUGCUGCCUGACUGCUGGUAAUACCUUGUCUUGAAGAUGUCAUACCCAACCUUUACUCGAAGAGCAAGCAGCACAUCAAUACUGUAAAAACCAGUAUCGGUCUCUGCCUUCAAUUGGGAAAGCUCUGUGUCACCAAACUGUACCAAUUGCUGACCUUCAAGUACCACAUGAUUCAAAAUGGUUGUGUUCUUGUGGCCUUGGUGAAAGGGUGUGGAAUCCAAAGUACGCAUGGCAAACCUCUUUUUUCCAUAGUUAGCAAUGACUUGGAUGUCAUUGUAGUAUAUGUCCACCUUGUUGUUUUGGUUUCUAAUGGUAAUGUUGAGCUCAAGGUUGUAGUGGAGAGUUUUGUUGGUUUUGGCGAAGUCGAAUUGGGUUAUAGAGGCAUUAGUAAUACUGAACUUGGGCUCUUCAGGAAGGAAAAUGGACCACACUACAAAGAAGACUAGGGUGAAGCAGAGGAUGGUGUUGCAGAAUAGGAAGAAGCUGCAGUCGAUGCACGCACGCCUUCCAGUCAUGGCUGAGAACGAAGUCUACAAAAUGCGAAGGUAUAUAAUGCAGGGUAGGUUUUGGCUCCUUCUAUUUGAAUUAGUUUAAUAGAAAGAAUGUUGAGCAACAUGAUUGAUAGAAUUUAUAUUCAUAUUCCAUCGAGUUUGGCAAUUAGCAAUUGGUAGAGUAUGGCCGUGCCAAAUUCAACCAUAUGGGGAACUUCCAAAGUUCUUUUUUGGGUUAGGUGGAACUUCCAAAGACCUUCUUUCAGGAUUGAUUGGCCGUUUAAAGUUACAGUACAGAGUUGGGGAUGCUAUGUCGUUCCUUAUGAGCUCAGAUUCAGAUUCGGACUUAUUCUGAUCAACCAUUUCUGUCAAUUAUGUCGCUAACUUUUUCUUUGGGAUUUCUAACCCCGUCAACAUAACCUGUAGAUAGAAUGGUUAUUCCUGAUAGUUCGCAGUUUUUGUAUUACUGUUCUUUGCCCUUUAUUUGAACUUUUCACAACUUGAGUUUUUCGAGUUUGCAGCAGCAGAGGUUGCUGUUUCAUAUAUUAUGAUUAGAGAAACUUAAGAGGAAGCAUUCUUGUCUAUAGGGUUUUGAGAAGGAGCAAGGAAUUCUGCAUAUUCUGACCAACGUGAUUAAGUUUGCUUCAAAGGAGUGUUUAGAACAGCAAGAUUGUUUGACAAUGUGCUAUUGAGAUUUAUAUACAUUCUGCGAUACUGCAUCUAUCCAGUCAAAUCUGACAGAAGUUUUGACAAUUUGCUGAAUAUAUACUAUUAUCCAGCAACUUCCUUAUUGGUUUAAACACGUAAAGUUGCAAAAAUAUAGGCACAUGUACAAUGUGGUUACCAAGAAAAAGCGAGACAGAGUUCGCUCGCAGCUUCAGGUCUGCGGUGAUAUAGCAUGUCUGCCUUGGUAGUCUUUGGUUGUGCGGUAUACGAAUUAUCUUCAUGGUUGUGUAAUGCUGGCUAGCCUGUACAUCGAGGGAAUAGCAUUUUGGCAGAAAUGGCCGUGACAAAAAGGUCCUUGUCAAAGCUGAAUUGAGGAGGAACUUCCAAAGUUAUUGAAGAAUGUGGUUCCUCGUAGUUUUCGACUCGUUGACUUGUGAGAGAAGCAUCGAUAAUUCUCAAGUGGAGGGUGAACGGUAUUCAUCUCUGAGGUUGUAUCGGCGUACCUGACUAGCAAUGGAUUGAACUGUGAUGGUAAAUUUGGGUACUUGGGUAUAUGGAAAGAUGAGCUAGAAGCAGAGUUUGCAGCAGCAGCAGCUGCCGUGAUUGCAUUUUAUCAUAUGCAUGAUCUAACCAUAGUUUACGUACAUAACUGAUAUUUGCUUGAAGUAAAUUUGCUGAACACUUCUGAAUUUGCUGAACACUUUUAACUAAGGAACUGUUUAUUACUAAUUAACCACGCACAGCUGCAAAAAUAUAGAUACAAAUAAGCAACACUUGGAUGGUCUGGUUGUGAAGGAAAAACUCGACUGACAUAGCCCACUGCUUCAGGGUCUGCAAUGAUAUAUCAUUUCUGCACUUGGUAGUCUUGAAAGUGAAGCGGUUUGCAGAUGCUUCACUAAACUGCAAAGGAACCUUCAGCUUGCAGUCGAUCUGGUACGAUGGGUUGGAAUACUUUGUGUUGAAAUAGCCGAAUAAUACCAUAUUAACAUAAAGCUUCAAGUCAAUACUGUAAAUGCCAGCAAUAGUCUCCGAGUUAAACUGGGAAAUGUCUUGUUCUUCAAACACCACAGACUUGCUCCCUUUAAGAGUUACGUUCUGCGAAAUGGUUCUGUUCCUGCCGCAGCAGUGAAGUGGUUCAUAAGGCAAAGUGACGAGAGAAAAUACUUUGUUUCUAUAGUUAGCUGCGACUUGUAUUUUAGUGUAAAAUAUGGCAGCCUUUCUGUUGGGGUUGAUGAUGGUCAUGUUGAGGGCAAGGUUGUAGUCGAGGGUUGCGUUUUGGUUGGUGAAACUGAAUUGGGUUAGAGAGGCAUCUGUGAUGAUGAAUUUGGGAUCUUUGGGAAUAAAGAUGAACCAGAGUAUGGGGUAGGAGAGUAAAAGGCAGAGUUGUAUCUGAAUUCCUCUCCACCACCACAUGGCUGGGAAAAAGAAUUGGUGCUAGAGAGAUGGAUUUGGCUGUGAUGUACAAAGUUUGGUUAUGUUGGCUUCUCUCCAUAAAAGAGAUGAACUAAGACUUGGGGAGUAGUAUUUGGCAGCCCAGACGAAAAGGUCGAUGUCAGGUUAAAUUAAAAAGAGUAAUGUGAGAAAUCUCCAGGUGUCAACUUCCAUAUAGUUUGUUUGAGGAGAGGAACUUCCAAAGUUAUUGCAAGGAAGUUUAGCCAAAGAAAAAAAAAGUUAUUGCAAGGAAGUAGUUUAUUAUUUUUUCUUUAUAUAUGGAAUAAAGUGAGAAACCUCUCAGAAAACUCCAAGUUCGAAAGAAACAAACGGACAACUUAUUGAACUCAACAACUUUACGUCUAAGAUAUUCCAUAGUUCUUUGCAAAAGAAAAAAUCGAAGACACCAAUGACGACCGCUUUGCAACGUGUUAGCCAUAGUUACGUAUAGAUUUGGUUUCAAUGUAUACGUCUGGGAACUAUAUACAUAUUGCUAAAGAUCUUGAUCAAAUAUUGAAUUGUCUGGUAAUUGGUAUAACACUAUUCAUGUUUUUAUGUCUAAUGGUUUUAAAGAUGAGCUAGCAGUGAAAUAACAAAGAUCGGUAUAACCAUUAAAAAAAUAACAACAGCAAUUGAUGAACAAAAAAUAACAACAGCAGAAAACUUAUAUGUUACUUCAGAUCAGGAAAACCAUUCGAGGACAAAUUAUUGCCCUGACUAGAUCUCUUCAAUGCCUCUUCACUAAACAUUGUGUAGCCUUGAAACCACGACUAGGAGAAGUAUUAUUAAAACCCGAUGGAACCUUCAACAUACACAUCCUUUGUGGUUUGUAAACGAUUCCUUUGAGAACCCAGCGACUUAUUCGAAAAGCAAACUGCACAUCAAUAUUGUAAAUGUCUGCAUCGGUCUCGAAGCUAGAGGGCUGCCCUUGAAGAACUGGAUACACAAUGGUUAUGUUUUUGGUUCCUUGGUCAAAGAGUGGCAAACUCAAAGUCACCAUAGCAACUCUCUGCUGCCUAAAUUUCGCUGUGACUUCGAUGCGUUUGUAGUGUAUACUGAAGGUUGAACUAGGGUUUCUGAUGGCAACAUCGAGGGCGAGGUUGUAGUAGAGAGUGUUGUUGUUGUUGCUGUUGAGGUUGAAUUGGUCAUAGACGCAUCGGUGACUGUUACUUCGAGCCUUGGAGAUCUAGAGAAGAUGACUAGGAAUGCUAUGACUCCGGCUAAUAGGGCAAUGACGGUAAAGGUAGCUAGAAUGGUGCUGCUUGUUAGCUUCUUUCCAUUCCAUGUCAUUGAGCAAGUCAUAGCCAAAGGAACAGGAAAAUACUUGCUACUGUAAACAGUUGUACAAGGAAAAAACAUGCAUGUACAAGAGGGAGAGCCAUAUACAAUCGUUACGCCUCCUAUUUAUAAUGGUAUAGCUUAACUGGGACGAUCUAUCCCAACGAGUUUUCUUAAUAAAACAUCUCCUAGCAGUGCUAACUGCUAAGGUGAAUCUUUAAGGUGAAUCAUUAUGGAUGGAACGAAUUAAAGGUGUGUUUACAGAAUAUGGGAAAGUAAAUCUACAUGAGAUCUUUAAAAGGCUAUAUAUCUAUGAAUAUAUAUGAAAAAGGUUGAGGUUUGGACAAAUUUGGUUUGUUCAUCAGUAAAUUUUAAGUUUUAUACUCGUCGAAUCGUCGAUCCUCUAGAAUAUUUCAAGUUUAAUUUUUGUGUUUUGUAAAAAAAUUUCAAGUUUAAUUUAUGUGUUUUGUUUUGCUUAGUACGUAGUAGGUGAAUCCACUUUCUUUCAAGAAAUUUUUGUGUUUGGAAUGUGAGUUUAUAUUACUUAAUGUAAAGGGUUGUAUGUGCUAUGUAAAGUAGAUAGGAUAAUUAUAAUUAAUAUAAUGAAAACCCUAUUCUCUCUAGCGUGUCUUCUCGCUUUGGCACUCUCGCCGCCUCCUCUUAAAGGUGUCGAAUUCAGCGGCUCCCAUCGGAAGCCAACCUCAGGCACAUCUGUCAUCCUACUGCUCCUCCCUAUUCAAUCCACUUACCACAUCCCUUUGCUUAGACAGUUAGACACGAUGGAGACGUCCUUAGGGCUGGGCAUCCAUCUUGGUUCUAGUGGCUGUUAGAUGAUAAGAUCAGAGUACUGCUAGAGGUGGGAGCGUUGAUCUCGCUGGUUACGCAAUGGUGGUUGCGAUCGUAGAUGUCGUCCGAUAGAGCAGCAGAUUGUCUGUGGCCUAGACUCGGAUGAUGAUACGACGUGGCAGAUCAUGGUUGGGAUUGCUAAUGGCGGGUCGACGGUGUUGGUUGCCAUGAUUCGACAAUGGUUGCCACUGCAAAGAAGAAGAGAUAUGAUCGGAGUUGAGAUCAACACUUUGGGUCGUUAAAAAAAAACACUUUGGGUCGUUCCUUCGGGCUCCACCAUGGCCCAAGCUUGGGUGUAUUUGGAUCUACUUUCUGCAAGCCUAUGGAUUUAGGAUCCAGGAAUCACUCAUCUAAAUUGUCAUGGAUCUAAGGUCUACCUAUAGCCCCACCGGCCGGAGUUUAACCUCCGUGCACAUUCCCCGACAAUGGAGAGUAGAAAAGGCUUUGGUCAAUGGAUCUUGGUGCUACAAAGACAUGCUACCCUAACAUCUUGGACAUUUGAAGACCGUGCAAUUGUUAUAUGUGUGACAAACUCUUUAUGGUGUUCUAAUAUUUUCGUACACCAAUUGAGGUCCGUAGGUGAAUUUAUUCGUUCGACUGUUUUGAGUCAUGUAACAUCUACUUGGUUAAGAAUGUCUUCUAGUAGAGUAGUACAUCAUCAUAUUCGAAAUAGGCUUGUCCUUGCUUGGCAUGUAUUCGUUCCAGCACAUAUAUAUGUUGGAUGCUCCUAUGUUCGACCUUUGUCGAUCUUAUGAAUAAAGUUUUCCUUAUAUUCAAAAAAAAUAAAAGUAGAUAGGAUAAUAAGAAAUAUUGAAACUUUGGAAGACAUGCAUGCAUCAACACAAAAUUAAGUUGCAACCAUCAAAGACUUAGGCACAUAGCCAACCUCUCUCUCUCUCNNNNNNNNNNNNNNNNNNNNCUCUCUCUCUCUCUCUCUCUCCUCUCUCUCUCUCUCUCUCUCUCUCUCUCUCUCUCUCUCUCUCUCUCUCUCUCUCUCUCUCUCUCUCUCUCUCUCUCUCCGUUGACUACUCUCAACUGGUAAAUGCUUCCAUAUAUUCCUGAAUGAGUAAUUUUAUUGGUACAAGAGAAGUUCAACGUACAUAGGCACAUAGCCAAGUUCCCUGUAUAUAUAUAUAGUUGGAUGUUCAGAUGUCAUAUGUUUUCUUAAUUAUUUUAAAACAUAAAAAGAGCCAUAUAAACUCGUGAGCACUUUGCAGUCGAUGUAGGAGAGGCAUAACCAACCGGCCGAAGUAAAUUAAUCUGAAUCAGGAUCUGUAAAGAAGUAAACAUUUUCACACCUUGUGGCCUUGAAACCACUGGCAAUUGAUGUUUCAUUAAAACUCAAAGGAACAUUCAGCUUGCAGUCAAUCUUCCGAUACGGUUGGUAAUUGCGCGACGUGAACUUGCCGUACCUGGCUUUUAUCCGAAGAGCAAGCUGCACCUUUAUACUGUAAAUCCCAGAAGCAGUCUCCUCGGUAAACUGGGACACCUCGCGUUUUCCAAACUUCACCGGCUGCGAUCCUUGAACAACCACUUGAUGCAAUUCGGUGGUGUUUUUGUGGCCUUGGUAGAACGGCAAAGUAUUCAAAGUCACGAGAGCAAACCUCUUCUUUCGAUAGUCACCGAUUACCUGAAUGCGGCGAUAAUAUAUGCCAACCCUCUUGUUAGGGUUUCUGAUGGUCAUGUUGAGUGUGAGGUUGUAGUCGAGGGUGUUGUUGGAGCUGUUGAAGUUGAAUUGGGUUAGUGUAGCAUUGGUGAUUGUGAACUUUGGUUCUUGAGGAAGGAAGAUGAACCCGAAUAUCAUGAAGGAAAGGCUGAAGCAAAGGAUGAGGUUGUAAUAUAUCCAGAAGCAGCAGGUAAAGCGGCAACCAGACAUGAUUGAUGGAUGCUAUGGACAAGUUUAACUGAUCGAUGAAUAGUGAUGAGGAUUCUAGAGGUGUAUAUAUAUAGUGAUGAAACGAUAAUCGUGAGCCUGAUAGGAAAUAAUGUUGAUGCCAAGAAUUCGAAGUUCAAAGUCAGCUAGGUAGGAAGAGUGUUCUAUGAGAGAUGUUAAGAUAUAAAUCCCAAAUUGGGAAUAUGGGACCUUGCUUGUGGGUUAAUAAAGGUUUGGGUCUCUCCACCCAUUGCCAAUUGGUUUUGGAUGUGAACCCUAGACUACUUUAUUAUGGUAUCAGAGCGAGUUACCCACGUCCACGUGUAAAGCCCAAUGACCAAACAAACUCCAUGUCACCCCAAAUGUUGUCCAUGUGCUAGGUUUGAAAAUUUGCCACACGUGCGGGGGCGUUUUGAGAUAUAAAUCACACAUUGGGAAUAUGGGACAUUGCAUGUGGGUUAAUAAGGGUUUGGGUCUCUCCACCCAUUACCAAUUGAUUUUGGAUCUAAACCUUAGACUACUUUAUCAAGAGAUCUCUAAGAGAAAUUGCAUAGUUGUUGAUGGACGCAGUUCCUGGUAGCUUCCAAACAUCUGACUUGUUAAUCAAUGUUGACAAAUUAUACUAUUCUUCAUUUAUAAACUAAGGGUAUAAUAUAUAUCUGACUGCGUCAGGAAACUUGGAGAUGGAAAUGCUUUGGGGUUUUCGUGUUUACGGCCGUAUGAAUGAUCAGGCCUGCUCACCUGCGGACCAAUUUUUAAGGGACAAAAAGGGAUGAAACUGUGAUGACCAGUAGAUCUUAAGUGAGUUGAUCUAAUGGACAGCGUACCAAAUCCAUUAAAGCAAGUAUGCUGCUAUUCUUUACCUAAUCUUGUCUCCGUCUUCUUCCUCCUCCUCCAUCUCAUCUCAUACUCAUAUGCUACUAAAGUAGCUAUAGCUAGCUAACUAUGCCAUGGACCAAGUCACCUGAUGAACACCUUCAUCUUGAUCAAGUCCAAAGCAUUCCACACUGCAUCAGACCCAAUUAUAACCAACAACAAACUAAUAUCUAACCCAAUUACCGAAUGUAGUACCUUUUCUUUGUGAAGCUCCUCAAGGUGAGACUUAAGCUCUCCCAACCUCUUCAAAGUCAAAUCCGUCUCAUCCACUCCGGCAUACUCACCGGCAUUCCCAGCCACACCGUUGCCGGCUAUCUCCGACGAGAUCCUGGCAAUCUGCGACUGAAUGACCGAAAAGUCCUUGACCCUCUCUUGCUUCUUCAAGCUCAAUUCCUCCAAAACAGGCUUGACAGCAGAAAUCUGGUCCCGGAGAGUCCCUCUUGCCCGGGGAAAGGAAGUGGCUUCGCCGAGAGCGGAGGCGAUGGCGGUGAUUUGAGCUUGGCCGUCGGCAAGGGACCUGUGCAACUCGGCCCUGUACUUUCUGGUCAUCUCGACCUUCUUGCGGUAGAUGUCGUGGCACUCUUGCUCGAGCUGGAGAAGCAUGGUGUCACUCUCACUCAAUCAUAUGGACAACGCCAUGUGAUUAAGAAGAGACCCAGCGCACCAAUAUGAUUGAGAAGAUAUCCAUGGCAUAGUUAGCUAGCUAUAGCUACUUUACUAGCAUAUGAGUAUGAGAUGAGAUAGAUGAGGAGGAAGAAGAUAUGGAUACUUUACUGGGUUUUGAUCGAUUUGGUAUGAGAUGAGAUGGAGGAGGAGGAAGAAGACGGAGACAAAAUUGGGUAAAGAAUAGCAGGAUACUUUCUUUAAUUGAUUUGGUACGCUGUCUAUUGAAUCAACUCACUUAAGAUCUAACGGUCAUCACAAUUUUAUCCUUUUUUGUCCCUCGUACUCCCUGUACUGGAACUCAGCAGUACUCCCUCGCCAACGCCACUCGUACUCCCUGAUGUCAGAAGCCAACGCCACUCGUACUCCCUGUACUGGAACUCAGCAGGGGUACCAGAACGUGCGUUCCCGUUCCUGACUCCCAGGAGGAUAUUGUAAGUCAUUUUACGUUUUUAAAUUUUAAAUUUUAAAUUUAUAUAUAUGUGAAAAUGUUAAUUAAUUAUUUUUUUCCUAUCCAAUUAGGCGAAGGUGAGGGAGGCUAGUGACGAGGUGAUGAGUGCUAUAGUGAGGGAGACAUGGCCGGACACGCAGGAGGAAGAGAUGUCCGAAGCCAUGUCCCGGAUCGACACUUCGGAUCCGACGAUUGGGGCGAGGAUCAUGGGCACAGCCUUCCCACCGAGAGCAAACAACUUCUACUGCCGGGGUCUAGGAAAGAAAGGCGAGGGGGUCCUGAAGACCACUCCAGGAUUUCAAAGAAAGGCAGCAUCGACCAGCAGCAGGACCACGUCCACGAUCACCAGGACGACUCAGCUAGAGUCGGAAGUUCAGAGACUACGAGAACAGCAAGCUGCUCAGGAAGCCUAUAAUGUCUCGCAGGCGGCCUAUAAUGCCUCGCAGGCGGCCUAUAAUGCCUCGCAGGCAGCCUAUAAUGCUGCGCAGGCAGCCUAUGUUGCCGAGAUACAUGCCAUCCAGCAGGCCCAGCAGCAGCAGAUGUUCCAGUACAUGCAGGACUUUACAGCUGCCCAGCUUCAGGGACUUCCGCCUCCGCCCAUGCCUCCGCCCACUGCCGCUACCCCAGCCGCCGCAACCUCCGCCGCAACCUCCGCAGCAACCUCCGCAGCAACCCCCAGAAGCGGAUAUUAAUUUAGACGAUUUAGAUUUUUAUGUAGUUGAUGAAUUAUAUACUUUUAUGUGCUUGUUGGUUAUAUGGAAUAUGGAAUUGUUUUUGGUAUAUUUUGCAGCUUGCUUGGGAAUGGUAAUUCAGAAAUUCGGGGUUUUUUUUUUUUACUGGAAAGGA
Molecule: long non-coding RNA, 83947 nt
Filed under: Fragaria vesca (wild strawberry)
Lineage: Eukaryota; Viridiplantae; Streptophyta; Magnoliopsida; Rosales; Rosaceae
Description: long non-coding RNA (FVES_LNC002933)
Source: RNAcentral